Molecule: long non-coding RNA, 49281 nt
Filed under: Hordeum vulgare
Lineage: Eukaryota; Viridiplantae; Streptophyta; Magnoliopsida; Poales; Poaceae
Description: long non-coding RNA (HVUL_LNC008694)
Source: RNAcentral
AUCUUGAUACUCCUACUGGAUUGAUACCUUGGUUCUCUAACUAAGGGAAAUACUUAUCGCUACUGUGCUGCAUCACCCUUUCCUCUUCAAGGGAAAAAACGACGCAAGCUCGAGAAGUAGCAAGAUGGUGCACCACCUCGGUCUCACGUUGUUUUCUGCAGAAUAUAUUUCCGAUUGGUGUAAUUUAUUUACUACCGAGAUGUAUAACCAGUAGCCCUCGAGGUGUAUGUCGGUCUAAAACUCCAGAUGCACCUGAAGGAUAAAAUAAAACAGUUGAUCCUAGUAGCCCCUGAUACUCCGGUCGAUUCGCAAAAUCGGCAUGAGGAUCAGUUCCUUACUCGGCCGCAUACUUUAGGAAUGGAAAUGCGGUGUGUGGUAGCCCCCGAGGCUCAAGUUGGAUGCGGCUGACCGACCUGAGGAUCAAAUCUUCUCAGAAAUCGUAUUGCACUUUUUGUGUGCAUAUUAACAACACUGAGGUGGACCUCGGCACGGAAGAUGUCGAACUGCGGGUCGGAAAAUAUUUUCCGGUUGGUGUAAUUUUUUCUCUGACAAGCUAUAUAACGAGUAGCCCCCGAGACUUGGGUUGGGCAACAUGGCCGACCCAAGGAUCUUAUAUCCUCGAGAACUAUUUCAUCCAUUAAGUGUGUUUUGACAACACGGAGGUGGAACUCGUCAGGGAAGAUGCCGAACUGUAGGUCAGAAAAAAUUCUCCGAGAAGAAUCACCACGCAGAACACCUCGAACAAGAGGAUGUCCCGCGUCCUAAAAGAACAAGCAUAUAAAGAAGUUAAAGGUGCCAUAAGCUCGGCAAUACCAAAAAACUUUAGCAAAAACAUUAUGUUCCUAACUAAAUCAAGUUUCUUUCAGGUGUGCAGUUGCCUCCGAGACUCGGGUUGGGUGCGGCCGACCGACCUCAGGAUCGAAUCUCCUCGAAACCCGUAUUGCACUUUUGAAUUUUCUGCAUUGAAGAAGAACUGCAGUAGCCCCAAGCCUUAAAUUGGGCACGAGUGGUCGAAUUAAGUAUCUAUAUUUGUUUGACACAAACUUUGUUAUGUUUGACACAAUUUAAGUGUAAUGAUUCUAUGUAUCCAAGUACUAUAUAUCACUAAUGCUUGGAUCCGCAUUGUAGAACACUCUGUUGACCGUCCAUCGGCUUCGACCUCCUCGGCCAGUAAUCGAGGAGUGUUUUUACUACUUUAUAAAGCCUUUAUAAGGGCAAAGAUUUAUGGCAAACAAGGCAAUCCGGCCAUACGGUUUUAUAAACAAUGGUACGCGAAGAGAUUACUUAUUUAACAUAAAAAUAUCCUCUGGGAAAAAUAGUUCAUUUAUAAGUUCCUUUUCCCAUGAUAUCAUGUUUGACCAUGAUCGCGAAACCUUAACUCUGAUCAAUGUGAGAGGAAAAUAUUGAGGAUUUAGUUCGAGGAAUGUUCUCGAACUCUGAGGUCUUUAAUGAACCAAAAAAAUUCACUUCCAUCAUUGCCGACCAAUUAUAUUUUUAAGAUAGUUAGCUUUCGGCUUCACCCAGUGUGAGGUACUAAUCUGGAUGACCCGGAAAUAACGAUCACAGAGGUGCUCCCUUUAUCCUUAGCCGAACAAUCGGGAAUGUAGGGGGUAAGCACAGGAGCCAGGCAACCCAGCUUGGCCAAAAUAUUAAUUCAAAUUGAUGCAUAUUUGUGGCUUUAUAAUGAUGAUUAUGGAAGGCAACACUCGCAUAUUGAAUACAAAUGCUAAUAUGCUAUAUCCUAUUUUGACUCCAUUACGACUGUUUAUAAUCUGAAAGUGGCCCAUCGUCGGCUUUCACCCCCUUGUAGAUACUAUGCAGGUGUUUCCGUACUAACAAGACAACCCUUAGCCAACGUAUCGGUGCUCGGAGGCGGUUGUGUUUAGUGGAAACAAAGCAAUGGCAUAUUCAGGCUUUAUAACUUUCACUUAGUCAGGGGAGCUUUUAAGUGGGGAGGCAAGUUACUAGCCCCUGGUUAGUGUUCGGUGUCAGUCGAGGUCAAGCCAUUAACACUUCGGCCAAUUUUAUGUAAGGCCCACGGGGUGACAUAGUCAUUGGGUCGCUAACCAGCUUGCGCUCAUUGUGACCGUCAUUUUUUGGCUUUCUCCACUGAGGUACUUGACCAGUCAAAUUGGAAGUAUAAUCGCAGUGGUUCUCCCUUUGCACACCUAGCCGAACAAAGCAGAAUAUAGGAGGCAAUCACAGGAGUCGGGCAAGCCAACUAUUGACCAAAGACACAUUUUGAAACUGAUGCAUAUAAACCAAUAUCUAAGAAGCCGAGGUGCAGAUCAGUAGGGAAGAUCCCGAAUUGUGGAUCGGUAAAUAUUUCUUCAGAUAAAAUAUUAUGUAGGGCACCUCGCUGAAGAGGAUGUACCUCCUCCUAAAAACAUUCAAGAGGUGAAAAGUUCAUAAGCUCGAAAAUCAAAAAAUUACGUACAUACUUGACAUCUUAAUUAAAUCAAAAAAACAGUGCCAAUACAAAUUUGGUCUUAAAAUUAAUAUGUGUUUCGGUCAUGCUUUAACAUGAUACAUCCGACCCCUCAGACUUCAAACAGGUUAGCCUUUGGCUUCAACCUCCAUAUCCCGAGGGCGGAGUGUUUCUCCCAGGCCUGUUUAGGAAACUCAACUCAAGCGGCUUUAGAGAGAAACUAGGCUACUCGGUUAUUGACCAAACACUCCUGUGGGAAAAAGGAAUAGUAAAAAAAUGACUUUGCAACGACCAAGAAGAAAAUAUUUAUUAUAAAACGGCUUAUAUAAAUUUUUAAGAGCCCCAGAUAACAUGGGUAAAGGAAGUGUUUUUAACAAACAACGCUCUUAACAAGCUAAGUUUUUAACAAAUAGCUUUUGUCUUUAACACAAAUAUAAUGCUUGGCUGGAACAUAUAGAAAUUAAAAAAUGAAAAAACUUAAGCAUUAAAGCAACCUAGCUGAUUGAUAUGCUCGGUGUGACAUGGCCAAAGCUUGCAACGGUCCGAGGUCCCAACCCCCAAGCAUGUCACGAGGUAGACGAUGAAGAGCUCGGCUUGAUGAAGUGACAACACAACACUUCGGAAGGCCCGAGACGAGACCCCCGGUCCAGCCGAGGAGACAGAGUAGUUCAGCAGUGUGACGGCGAAUCCCCCACGUUAGUCGACCAUGUCGACGAUGCAAUUGGGUUGAUGGAGGCGUGAUGAUAACGUCGGCACGCCGAGGUGACUGUCUAACAUAGUCGUAGCCGAUCACCUGUGCACAUAAAAUGGUGCAAGUCAAAAGUAAUAUCAAGUAAUAACAAAAUCCUCUACUUAAAUAAGUUAAGUGAAGGAAAUGAUUAGAAAAAAUAUAGCAUGAGCACUGAGGUGCCCGAGCGAAGAGCUCGACUAGAUGUAGUUGCAAUGCGACACGACCGAUGUGGCGAGGCGAAGCCCUCAGUCCAGCCGAGAUGACGAAGCUGGUCGGUCGGUGACGUCGAAGUCCCUAGAACAGGUUGAUGAAGAGAUGGCGAAGCCCCCGGUCUAGCCGAGGUGACGUAGUAGUUCGAUAAGGUGGCGCUAGAGCCCCAUACCAGCCGACGUAUCAAAGCAGGUCGGCGUGUUGAAUGUCGGCAUGAAGAAGCGAUGGCACGACGAUGCCGACGCAGGUCCAAAUUUGUGACGCGAUUAGUGAUGGCUUGAUGAAGCAAUGACGCGCCCGACCCAUGCAACGUGGGUGACGAAAUUCUCUGAAGAUUAUUCAGCCCUCGCGAUGUUGAACUCUUGAUCGGAUCGCGGAGGUGUUAGUUUGAUGAGAUUGACCUCAGCUUGACGAAGUGAUGAUCUGUCUAGUGCAGGUCGGCAGCUGUGGAGCAACGUUACCGGGCUGGUUUUACACCAGCGUAACGGAGAAGAUUGUCUUGUAAAAGGCUUAAAAUUUACGGGCAUGUGUUUUAGAACAACACAUAAUACCUUAAAAAAUCUUCAAAAGGAUGUCCAAAACCCCAUUCAUGAAGAAAGAUGAACUCGAGUCGGAUUCGUUUUUGCGAAGAAAACAGGUCCAAAAUUCAUUGUACUCAUCGGAUGUUUCCCGAAGUUUGGACGGUCGGAUCGGGCUGAAAUUUUGAGGCGUGAUCGAUAUAGGAAUUCCGCAGCCGAUGAACAUUGGGAUUUUCCAACGGAUGUCCUAGCUGAAUACUGUACCCCUCGCCCUAAACUCAUCUAGAUUCCCGUCUAGAUUUGACAUGGUUCCAGUAUACAGGAGAUCGUCAGAGAUUCCUCCAUCGGAACGUGACGAAAUUUUGACGGGUUGUUGUAGAUACAAUUCCGCACAGUUCCAUUGCAGCAAUCAUUAAAGCGACGCUCGACGAAGUACGGAUGACGAACACAAAUUUGUUGUCCAGUAAAGGUUGGAAUCUGCACACGAGCCAUCAAUCCUUCAGCAAUCACACAGCAGAACUUUCAAUGAAAGCACCAAUGUCGGAAUCAAAACCGGCGGAUCUCUGGUAGGGGGUCCCGAACUGUGGACCUUGGAUCGAUGGGUUGCAGGAGACGAUGUUUACCCACAUUCGGUCUUUCUUGAUGGAGGUAAAACCCUACGUCCUGCUCUUGUUUAUAUUGAUGAUGGAGUAUCGAGUACACAGAUGAUCUACCUCGAGAUCAUACGUGGUGGUCUAAACCCUAAUGAUGUAGAUGUUAUGUCUAACGAAUAUAUAUCAACUAGUCUGGCCUCGGCUUAUAUAACACACCGGAGGCCUAGGAUAACAAGAGUCGUAGUCGGCUACAUUGGCGUAGAGAAGUCCUUGUCUUGAUGACCAAGUCUUGUGAAAUCUUCCUCGUAUAUGUCAUCGGCUGCCCAAAGUAGCCCAUGAGUCCGGCGCGUAGAGAUAGGUCGGCGGCCCGAGGACCCCUUAGUCCAUGACUCCCUCAGAGCUCUAUAGCAUUUUUAAUAUUAUAUUUGGAUGACAUAUUGCUGAUUGGAACCAAUAUAGAACUUUUGGAAAGCAUGAAGAUAUAUUUGAGCAAGAGUUUUUCGAUGAGGGACCUUGGUGAAGCUAGUUACAUAUUAGGCAUCAAGAUCUAUAGAGAUAGAUCGGGACGCUUAAUUGGACUUUCAUAAAGCACAUACCUUGAUAAGGUAUUGAAGAAGUUCAAAGUGGAUCAGUCCAAGAAGGGGUUCUUGCGUGUCCUACAAGGUGUAAAGUUGAGUAAGACUAAAUGCCCAACGACUAUAGAGUAUAGACAGAAGAUGAGUGUCAUCCCCUGUGCUUCAUCCAUAGGCUCUAUUAUGUAUGUGAUGUUGUGCACAAGACAAGAUGUCAGCCUUGCCAUAAGUAUGGGCAUAAGGUUCCAAAGUGAUCCAGGAGUGGAACACUGGACAGUGGUCAAGAAUAUCCUUAAGUACCUCAAAAGGACUACGGAUAUGUUUCUCGUUUAUGGAGGUGAUCAAGAGCUCAUCGUAAAGGGUUACGUCGAUGCUAUAUUUGACACAGAUCCGGAUGACUCUAAGUCUCAAACUAGAUACGUAUUUAUUCUAAAUGAUGGAGCGGUAAGCUGGUGCAGUUCUAAGAAAAGUGUGGUAGCUGAUUCUACAUGUGAAGCGGAGUACAUAGCUGCUUCAGAAGCAGCAAAGGAAGGUGUCUGGAUGAAGCAGUUCAAGACGGAUCUUGGAGUUGUUCUCAGUGCACUGGAUCCAAUGACCCUGUUUUGUGACAACACUAGUGUCAUUGCUCUAGCCAAGGAACCAAGGUUUCCCAAAAGGACCAGACACAUAAAGUGCCGCUUCAAUUCCAUCCGUGAUUAUAUCAAGGAGGAGGACAUAAACAUUUGCAAAGUACAUGUCGAUCUGAAUGAUACAGGUCCAUUGACUAAACCUCUUCGACGAGCAAAACAUGAUCAACACCAGAACUCUAUGGGUGUUAGAUUCAUUACCAUGAAAUACUAGAUUAUUGACUCUAGUGCAGGUGGGAUACUGUUGGAAAUAUGCCCUAGAGGCAAUAAUAAAGUAGUUACUAUCAUAUUUCUUUGUUCAUGAUAAUCGUUUAUUAUCAUGCUAUGAUUGUAUUGAUUGGAAACUCAAAUACAUGUGCUGGUACAUAGACAACAAACUGCCCCUAGUAUGCCUCUACUGGACUAUCUCAUUGAUCAAAUAUGGCUAAGGUUUUCCAGCUAUAGACAUGAGUUGUCAUUUGAUAACGGGAUCACAUCAUUAGGAGAAUGAUGUGAUGGACAAGACCCAAACCGUAAGCAUAGUGUUUGAUCAUAUCAAGUUUACUGCUAUUGCUUUAUCCAUGUUAAUAUAUCUGUUCCUAUGAGCAUGAGAUCAUGCAACUCACUAACACUGGAGGAAUGCAUUGUGGGUAUCACACAUCACAAUGGAACUGGAUGACUAUAAAGAUGCUCUACAGGUAUCUCCGAGGGUGUCCGUGGAGUUGGCAUGGAUCAAGACUGGGAUUUGUCACUUCGUAUGACGAAGAGGUAUCUCAGGGCUAACUCGGUAAUACAACAUCACAAUAAGCUUGCGAGAUAUGUGGUUAAGGAGUUAGUCACGGGAUCUUGUAUUAUGGAAUGAGUAAAUAGACUUGUCGGUAAAUAUAUUGAACUAGGUAUGGAGAUACCGACGAUCGAAUCUUGGGCAAGUAACAUACCGAUGGACAAAGGGAACGACAUACGGGAUUACCUGAAUCCUUGACAUCGUUAGUUUGACCGAUAAAGAUCUUCGUAGAAUAUGUAGGAAACAAUAUGAGCAUCCAGGUCCCACUAUUAGUUAUUGAUCGUAGAGGUGUCUCGGUCAUGUCUACAUAGUUCUCGAACUCGCAGGGUCUGCACACUUAACGUUCGCUGAUGAUGUAGAUGUAGUUGAGUUAUUGUGUUGGUGACCGAAGGUUGUUCGGAGUCCCGGGUAAGAUCUCGGACAUGACUAGGAGCUUCAGAAUGGUCCGUAGGUAAAGAUUGAUAUAUGGGAAGUUGGUAUUCGAGUUCGAGAAAAGUUCCGGAUGGUUAGCGUGUAGGAUGGAAAGUAUGUCUAGAAGGGGGGGUGAUUAGACUACUUGACAAGAUAAAAACUUAGCCUUUUCCACAUUUUAAGUGUAGGUCAGUUUUAGAAAUUAUGACUAGUCAAGUACACCCUACACAUGCACAUCUAAGAGUAUAGCAGCGGAAAGUAAAACAUGCAAGUGUAAAUUAGAGGGUAAGAUAGGGAGGUUAAAUGCAAAGGUUGACACGAUGUUUUUUUGAACGGUUCCAAUAGGUGGCGUACGUCCAUGUUAGUGGAGACUUCAACCCACGAAGGGUAAUGGAUGUCAGAGUCCACAGAGGGCUCCACCCACAAGGGGUCCACAAAGAAGCAGCCUUGUCUAUUUCACCACGGCUUCCGUCUAUACAUGACUAGCCUCACUCACGAUAGAUCUUCGCGAAGUAGGCGAUCUCCUUGCCUUACAAAUAUUUUGGUUCAACUCCACAACACGAAGUAGGAGGCUCCCAAGCGACACCUAACCAAUCUAGGAGGCACCACCCUCCAAAAGGUAAUAGAUGUGGUAGAACGAUGAACUCCUUGCUAUUGUGCUUCUAAAGAUAGUCUCCUCAACACUCAAUCACUCUCUCUCAGAUUUGGCAGGGGUAGGAGAGAUUGAUCUUGUGAAAGCAACUUGGGGAGGCUAGAAAUCAAGGUUCAAAUGGUUGGAAUGGAAUCUCUUGAUCUCAACACAUGAGUAGGUGGCUCUCUCUCAAAAAACUGGAUCUGGCAAGUGUAAGUGUGUUCUGAGUGCAUUCUCUACGAAUGAGAGGUAGGUGGAGGGGUAUAUAUAGGCACCCCCCAAAAUCCAACCGUUACAACAUUAUUGCCCAACUCGGUGACACCAAAAUGAAUCUCGGUGGUACCGAGUUGCAAUAAAUGUGGCGACUUUUGAAUUCUCGAUGAGACCGAUAUAGGAAUCUUGGUGGUACGAUACAAUGACCUAGACCAGUUUCCAAAUCUCGAUGAGACCGAUUUCAAACUUAGAAAUUCUGAUUCUUUAAAUCUUCUCAAAAGAAAGUUGGUCACUCAAUCUCGAUGGCACCGAUAGGAAUGUUGGUGGUACCGAUAUGGUAGGGUUUGGCAUAGGUUCUAUCAAGUGUAAAAUCGGUAGGGCCGAAUGGAAAUAGUUGGUGGCACCGAUUUUGUAGGUUUAGCUUUGGACAAAUAUAUUUUGUGGGAGAAUGGCUGAGUAUUUUUGGUGGCUACCUCUAAGCACUUGAGAAACCAAUUCAUCAUAACACCUCACCCCUUUUAAUAGUAUUGGCCUUCAUAUGGACUCAAAGUGAUUUCUCACAAGUGUAAAAUGUAGAAUCUUCUUGCUUGAAGCUUGAGCCAAUCAUAUUCCUUCCUUGCAUCAAGGGGCGUAUCCUCACAAUCCUAUAGCCAAAGCAUCUUUGAACUUUUCUUAAAUGUACUUGAAUAAACUCAUUAGUCCAAUGAUGCAUAUGUUGUGAUUAAUUACCAAAACAAGCUUAGGGGCAAUUGUGCUUUCAAUCUCCCCCUUUUUGGUAAUUGAUGACAACAUAUAGAUCAAAGCUUCGACAAAAUAUAUAAUCAAUGAUUAGCAUCGACACUUUGAGAAGUAUGUGAAUUAUUUAUCAUUUGCAUUUGAAUGCAAAUGCAGAAUUGAUUAGGAUCAUGGGUUACUCUUCCAUGUCACAUACAACUUGGUGAUGCACAUAAAUGAUAUGAACGAAUAGUAAUGCACAUAACACCAAACAAGAACGUGAAUGAUCAUCAGUAGAUAGCUCAAAGGUAAUAACGUGGUAGCAUCAAACAACCAUUGCAUAUGAUCAAACACACCUCUAAACAGGUAAAGUCAUCCAAAAGACCAAAAGUAUUGAAAACCCAAAAGAGAGGAAAUAAAAUGCAAAGCUCUCCCUCUCGAAGCCCUAUUUGAUGUACACACUUAUUCCCCUUUGGCAACAAGUUACCAAAAAGUUCAAAGGUCUAGAACUAAGCAUCUCUGUGGGCACGAUCUCCUCCGUAGCUGAAGAUGGAGUGGACAAGAUAGCAUCAACGAAGGCUUCUACAGAUGUCGCUGGAGCUCGAGGUGUAGACAUAGGAGGAGCAGGAGCACGAGCUGAAGCUUGAGCUGAUGAAGAUGGUCUUGCUUCUGGAACUGGCAAAGUCACUGACCUAGUCUGGGUCCUGAACUGGGUGGUAGUAGGAAGAGGUGACUCGUCAUCAUCAUCACUACUAGAGAGUACAAUCUUCACUGAGUCAACUUCAUGCAGAAGUUGCUGAACAGUGGUGGUCAACUUCAUCACCUUAACAUCCAGGUCAUGGAAUUUUGUCUCCACGAUCCUCUCAAGGCUCUUCUGGUUCAGCAAAAUCUUAGAAACUUUCUUCUCCAUCCCUUGGAUGGUGCUGACCAAGAAGGACAUCUGCUAAUCUCUGGUUUUGAGCUGUGGGGGUUGAGCUGGAGCAUUGCUAGCAGCCUCUGCAAUUGCUUCCUCUACUACCUCUCUAGUAGUAGCUGAGUUGGGAUGGGUAUCAUCCAUCACAACUUCAUUGUCUUCAAAAUCAGGCUGAAGUGGCUGGUGGGGACGAUCAAGUAGAUAUGCAUGCUUGCCAAUCUUGGCAUUGAUGAGCUUGUGAAUGUAUGGAGCAUAUCCACAAGAUCUCUUCUGAUCUGCAAAAGUCCUCUUGACAGUCUCAACUAUCAAGCCCAUCACUCGGAACCGGGUGUGGGUGUUUAGAUGAUGCAGCAUGUUGAUGGAAUAACCUCUAAUCAUCUUGUCAUCACCUAACUUGGGCAUCAGGGUGUGUCUCAUGAUGGUGUUUGUAGUGGGUAUUCUUGCUUGCACAAAGUAGACAGAGCCAAAUUUGCGAGACGACAGAAACUCAAUGGGCACAACCUUGUACAUGUUGGCCAUGGAGUUGUGAUUCAUUUUGAGCUGUGAAUACACAUCCAAGUCUUCUUCUCGUGCUUUAGGAGCACCAAUGAUAGUGUCUCAUUCGUCAACAGUGGCUUCAUACCGGUGACCCACAAUCAUCCAAAUAGUUCUUCCAUCAGAAUAGAAAUGAGCGGUGGAAUAGAAUUUCAUGACAUAUCAUCAUUCCAUGCAGUCAUCUCCUUGCCAACAAAAUCUUCAAUAUCAACCAUCCUGAAAUUUUCUCUCACAUGAGGAAAAUAGUCUUCAUUGGCUUUGAUGUAUUCCCAAUCGACAUAUCUCAUUUCGCUGACUGCAGGACUCUUGUCAAGGAGGAUUGUCUCAUAGAAAUCUUGUUGUUCCCUUGUGUGAAACCGGGGAUCAACAACAGUUCUCCUUCUCACAACAUAUGGAUCAAUAGAUCUCCACUUCCUGAGACCUGUAUCUCUCCUCUUCUUCAUGUCCUCAGUAGCUGGGUGAGAAGCAUCAUGGGUUGGCAUAUGAGCUCUCAGCUUCAUAAGCACUUUGGAAUCCUCAUCUUUCUCUGCAGCAAAAUCCAUGGAUGCACAGCCUUUGUUUUUCUCACCUGCGGGAAUAUCCUUCGUAGUCCUCUUAGGAACUACAAGCUUCUUAUGAGCAGAAGACUUCUUCGGAGCAGAAAGCUUCUUUGUCAUAGCAUCAACCAUCAACUUUGACUUCUUUGCAGGAGGAACCUCAGCUAGAAUUUCUUCCUCGUCAUUAGCAUCAGCAGUUUCUGUUGGAUAUUCAUACAUAGAGGUUUGCCUUCCAAUAACAUGGAUAGUUUUCUUCCAGGCUCUCUUCACACCUGGAUUCUUUGCAAGCCUUGCUUCUAGAGCUCUACUGUCAGAAUGUUUAGCAUACUCCUUCCUCACGAUCUUCCUCACUAUGGUCUUCUCCUUCUGCUUCUGGGGAGCAGAUUCUUCACGGAUGAAGUCAGCAUCUUCUUCAUCAGAAUUUAGCUUCCUUCUGGACCUGGCAGCUGCCUUGGGCAUGCCAUGGGAGUUGGGAGUACCUGGGUCAGAAGGGGUGCUCUCAGGACUAGUUCCUGAAUCACUUUCAACAUGGGGCUCACUGAAGUUGUUUUGAUUAUCCUCUGAACCUGACAUCUUGCAAGACCAAGUAGACAAGCAGAUUGGCAGAUGCUACGGCGACAGAGAUCUUCUAUCGUCUCUUGAGCUUGCGCUGGUUUUUCCCUUGAAGAGGAAAGGGCGAUGCAGCACAGGAGCAGUAAGUAUUUCCCUCAGUUUGAGAACCAAGGUAUCAAUCCAGUAGGAGAAUCUCCUCAAGUCCAGAGUACCUGCACAAACACAAAAGAGCUUGCACCCAACACUAUAAAGGGGUUGUCAAUCCCUUCAAGAUUGAUUGCAAAGUGAGAUCUUAAGGCGGAAAAUGAAACGAAGUAAAAGAGUAAGGCUGAAAAUAUAGUGUGGAGUAGAGCCGGGGGCCAUAGUGUUCACUAGAGGCUUCUCUCAAAAUAGCAAAUAUCACGGUGGGUGAACAAAUUGCUGUCGAGCAAUUGAUAGAACCGCGCAAAGUCAUGACGAUAUCUAAGGCAAUGAUCAUACAUAUAGGCAUCACGUCCGAGACAAGUAGACCGAUACUUUCUGCAUCUACUACUAUUACUCCACACAUUGACCGCUAUCCAGCAUGCAUCUAGUGUAUUGAGUUCAUGACGAACAGAGUAACGCCUUAAGAAAGAUGACAUGAUGUAGAGGGAUAAUCUCAAACAAAUGAUGAAAACCCCAUCUUUUUACCCUUGAUGGCAACAACAUGAUGCGUGCCUCGCUACCCCUUCUGUCACUAGGUGAGGUCACCUCACGGUAUGAACCCAAAACCAAGCACUUCUCCCAUUGCAAGAAUCAUAGAUCUAGUUGGCCAAACAAAACCCACAACUCGAAGAGAAUUACAAGGAUAUGAAAUCAUUCAUAAGAGAGAUCAGAAGAAACUCAAAUAAGAUUCAUAGAUAAUCUGAUCAUAAAUCCACAAUUCAUCGGAUCUCGACAAACACACCACAAAAGAAGAUUACAUCGGAUAGAUCUCCAUGAAGAUCAUGGAGAACUUUGUAUUCAAGAUCCAAGAGAGAGAAGAAGCCAUCUAGCUACUAGCUAUGGACAAGUAGGUCUAUGGUGAACUACUCACGCAUCAUCGGAGAGGUCAUGGUGUUGAUGAAGAAGCCCUCCGUAUCUGAAUCCCCCCCUCCGGCAGGGCACCAGAACGUGCCCCAGAUGGGAUCUUGCGGAGACAGAAGCUUGCAGCGGCGGAAAAGUACUUUCGAUGAUCUCCUAAUUUUUUCUGGGAUUUUAGGGAAUUUAUAGGCGGAAAACCUAGGGCAGAGGUGGCCCAGGGAGCCCACAAGCCUGGGAGGCGCGGGCCCCCCUGGCCGCGGCUAGGGGGCUUGUGGGGUCCCUGCAGGCCCCCUGCCCUAAUUCUCAGGCUUCCCGAUCUUUUUCUGUUUCGGAAAAAAUCUUUUUGGCAGUUUCGUUCCGUUUGGACUCCAUUUAAAAUCCUCCUCUGAAAGGGGUCAAAAACAUGGAAAAAACAGGAACUGGCACUUGGCACUGAGUUAAUAAGUUAGUCCCAAAAAAUAUAUAUAAGGCAUGCAAAACAUCCAAAGUUUGACAAGAUAAUAGCAUGAAACCAUCAAAAAUUAUAGAUACGUUGGAGACGUAUCAGCAAACUAGCACACAAGCUAACCGUGUGAAAAGAUAUAGAAGAGUUGGAAAGGAUAAGCAUCACAAAAUUGCAGAAGUUUUGUCAAAUUUGAACUCUGAAAAAAAUUGUUUUAACUUUCAGCAAAAUAGGAUCUCGGUUCCAUCGAGUCAAAAAAAUUGGAGCCACCGAGACACAGGUUCUCUUUAACAGAAACUUGGCACCCUUUUCGGUUUCACCAAAAAAGAGAACUCGGUUCCUCCGGGAACAUUCUUACUAACCCUAAAACCAAAAUCAGUAAGACCGAUUUUUGCAACUCGGUGACACCGAGAUUCAAUCUCGCGGACUACUAACCCUAAAAAAAAUUGUUCUCUACACUAAUAGAGUUCUCUGUUUGAUUGAACUUGUAGCAAUAGUGGACAGAUAAUGGCAGUGCCUAGCGCACAAAGAAUCAGAUUGGAGUGCAAAAGGAAAUUGAAUCCUUACCCUAACUUGGCAUGGAUUCACUACAGCAGCGACGGCGGUGAAGAAUUCAUCAGCGACGAGGACGCGUGGCGAAGGCGCACGGGAGAAACAAGCAGAUGUCCAAGGGACUAGGGCGCGACAACAAAGGGGUGCGAUUGUUCAGCGUUUGAAGGAAUUUCUCAACCGUCGGGUACCGCUGGUAUAUAUAUCCCUUCGCUAUCGGUGACAUCUUGAUGAGAUUUUCGGUGCCACCGAGUUCCACAACUGUCAGCUGACAGUGAAACCCGAUGAGGCCGAAAAGUAAAACUCAAUUGCACCGAGAUAAUAAAAGUUGAUCAACCCUAGGCUUUGGUGAGACCGAGAUUUUUAGGUUGGUCACACCGAGAUGCACUUUGGGAUGUUUUGGAAUUCAACCCUUGUCAAGAUGGGUCUCCGAGUGCUCCUCACACAGAGUGUCCCUAAAGUGCUUGAUCAAAUUUUGUGAUGUAGCAUGAAUAUAAUUUGAGCUGAGAAAUCAUACAUAGCUAGAGAAAGGUACUUAGGCAUUCUUGUAUAUCCAAUUGGCCAAUAAAAAUAGAAAGCCAAACAACAACAAUUGGAUAUCCUUGAAUGAGCAAAAUAUGCAUACCAACAUGCUCACGCAAUAAUAUGUCAAAUAAAACAUGGUGAACAUGCACAACCAUUCUAGCAUGUAUCAAGUACUUUGGCGGUGAUGAAGUCAUCUAUAUAAGAGUAUAUUGACUUAGGAGCCAAGUAAGAAUACUUGAUCAUAGGUCAUACUCAUCGAUCAGGCACAAGUGGGGUUAUCACUUUUACAUAAUGCAUUAAUGUGUUCACAUCGUUUAGUAGACACUUAUACUCAAGUCUUAGAGUAAAGCUCCCCCUAGAUGUGACAUCCCCCUAAGAGGGAUAAACUAACCUUGGGUUUUGUUGUAGAAGACUUCAAGUAGGUGUAGUAGGGUGGAUUCUCAUUGUUGAUGAAGAUCAUCUUGAGUUAGGAGCAAUCCUUGUUGUUUCUUACUCUUCUCACCUACAUGGGUUAGUCCCGAAGCAAAAGGAACAAAUGCAAGGAUAUCUAUGGACAUGGGGUGAAAUACAUGGGAAGUGAUGUCCAAAGAUGCAUUAAUUACAUUGUCCCUUGCUCACCUUUGAGGGGAUGUGUGACUCCUUGAACUAAUGCAUAUGGUUGGAUUUGAUUGCAUAUAGUUCUUGCCAAAAUGAAUAAGAGUGAAUUUCCUUGGCGAAGUCACCCCUCAAGAACUUUCUAGUUCUUCCUCUUGGGGACCCACAUCACCUUGAUGGGGAUCCUUGGAGUUGUUGUAGCAGUAGAUGAGGUAGUACUAGAAGUGUCUUUGGGAACCCACUCGACCUUGGCUUGGGGUUCUUCCUCAAAUGAGUCAAUCUCCUCUUGAAGCUUUAGCUUGCCCUUGUGGUCUUGUGGUAGAAGGCCAUCUUGAGAGCUUGUUCCCUUGCGAGGAGUAGGAUCAUACUUCUCCUCUUGAGGAACAAACUUGGGAAUGGAAAUGGACCUUCUUCCCAAACAUCUCCGUUGACGUUGAAGUAGCAAACACCUUGAUUCUUCCGAUGUCCUCCUUGCUUGCGCACAAUUUACUUGAAUUGCUUACUUCCAGCAAGACUCUUGAAGACACCUCUCUCUACAAUCUCUUUCAAUAAAUCGUUUUCUUGCUCAAGUGUAACUUGGAUAAGAGAAUCAUUAGUGGAAUCAAGAGAGCUACUAGCAACAACAUCAUUUGAUCUAGCUUUAGCAUUGUUGUUACUAGAUGAAGAAACUUUCUUGCCUUUGUUACUAGUAUUUUUAGCUUUAACUUAUGGAAUACAAGUAGACACGAGCAAACGUUUGGGUAGAUAAGAAGAAAUCUUCUUUCGAAGAUCAUCAUUGAUUGCUUUUAGAAACUCAUGCUCUUGCUCUAAAUUUAGCUUCUCAAAGCGUAGCUUCUCAUGAGUUCUCGCAAGCUCUCUAUGAUCUUCUAGAGUAGUUUCAUGAGCUAACUUAAGAGUGUUUAAUUCUUUAGUUAGUCGUUCAAUCUCUUUCUUAUCAUCAUCAUUUGAUUUUUCUUAGCUAGCAUGAAUAUUUUCAAGUUCAUUUUCAAUGUUAUCACUAGUCUUAUUAGAGAGCAAGUUAUGUUCUCCUAAGAAGUCAUCCUCAUCACUAUCAAUGUCAAAGUACUCGGGGUGUGAUACCUUGGGGCCUUUUGCCAUGAAGCAGUUUCCAAUCCCUUCAUUUGGUGAAUCAAAGUCGUAGGAGUUGGAGCAAACGAGUGCAAUGCCGGCAACACCUUCAUCUUGACUGUAGUCGCGGAGUUGGAGUGAUAGCUUCUCUGGGAUUGGUUGUCAGACUCGAAGCCAGAAACCCAUUCACCAACGUGAGCUUGAUGUUUUCUUAUUGAACCGCUCUUGGUGUACUUGUCCUUCUUCUCCAAUUCUUUUCCUCUUUGGGAGUGUCUUCAUUCAUAAUGAUCUUCUCUAUUCAUUCUCUCUUUGCGAGGUGAAUCAUCUCUUGAGCUUCCUCUUCUAGGUGACUCUUCUCUUUGUUUGUGGGGAGCCGAGCACUCAUUGGAAAAGUGUCCUGGCUUUCCACAGUUGUAGCAGUUUCGGUCAUGAGUAGACGAACGCUUCUCAUCAUAUCUUGAUCUUGAGUUUCUUUCUUUGCCUCUACUCUUGUAGUACUUGUUGAAUUUUUUUACCAUGAGGCUUAUCUCUUCAUUUGUAACAAGGUUGUCACUUGAAUUAGCAGGAGCAUCGAUUGAAGCUUUGUAAGCACCGCUUGACUUGUUGUGUAACUCAUCUUUGUCCUCAAGAGACAUUUCAUGAGAAAAAAAUCCUUCCAAUGGCUUCAGUUGGCUUGAGAUCCUUGUAGUUUGGCAUCAUUUGGAUUAAUGUGCACAUGGUGUCGUAUGUUCCAUCCAAGGCUCUAACUAUCUUCUUGAUGAUGAAUUUGUCGGACAUCUCUUCACUUCCUAAGCCUACAAUCUCAUUUAUGAUGAGAGCUAGCGUCGAGUACCUCUCAGCGACUCCUUCACCAUCCUUUAUCUUGAACUUGUAAAGCUAACUUUGAAGCACAUCCAACUUAGAUUCCCUGACAAAAUCAGUACCUUCAUGCAUAUCAAUCAAAGUAUCCCAAAUUUCCUUUGCAUUCUCCAGGCAACUGGUUUUGUUGAAUUCUUUUGGACACAAGCACUUGAACAGAAUAUCACAGGCUUGAGCAUUGAAUUGCAGCAUCUUCAAUUCUUCCGUUGCCGCGUCAUGAUCUAGUUCUUUACAUUCUCCAAAGAAAUCACCUUGCACACCAACACGAACAACAUCCCAAACGGUAGGAUUAUGACCAAGAAUAUGCAGUUUCAUCUUAUGCUUCCAACUAGCGAAAUUAGUACCAUUGAAAUAUGGACCUCUAUGGUGAUAAUUUCCCUCACUAGACUCCAUAAUCUCCUAGGUUGUGAAACCAAUGCAAUGGAGACCAAAGCUCUCAUACCACUUGUAGGAUCAAAAGUAUGUCUAGAGGGGGUGAUUAGACUACUUGAUAAGAUAAAAACUUAGCCUUUCCCUAAUUUUAAGUGUAGGCUAGUUUUAACAAUUAUGACUAGUCAAAUACACCCUACACAUGCACAUAUAAGAGUAUAGCUGCAGCAAGUAAAACAUGCAAGUGUAAAGUAGAGGGUAAGGUAGGGAGAUCAAACGCAAAGGUUGACACAGAGAUUUUUGGCAUGGUUCCGAUAGGUGGCGCUAUCGUACAUCCAUGUUAGUGGAGACUUCAAACCAUAGAGGGUAACGACUGUCAGAGUCCAUGGAGGGCUCCACCCACAAGGGGUCCACAAAGAAGCGGCCUUGUCUAUUCCACCACGGCUUCCAUCCACACAAGACUAGUCUCACUCAUGGUAGAUCUUCACGAAGUAGGCGAUAUCCUUUCCAUUACAAACAUCUUGGUUCAACUCCGCAACACGAAGUAGGAGGCUCCCAAGCGACACCUAACCCAUCUAGAAGGUACCACCCUCCAAAAGGUAAUAGAUGUGGUAGAGCGAUGAACUCCUUGCUCUUGUGCUUCUAAAGAUAGUCUCCUCAACACUCAAUCACUCUCUCUCGGAUUUGGCAGGGGCACGACAGAUUGAUCUUGUGGAAAGCAACUUGGGGAGGCUAGAAAUCAAGGUUCAAAUGGUUGGAAUGGAAUCUCUUGAUCUCAACACAUGAGUAGGUGGCUGAUACGUCUCGAACGUAUCUAUAAUUUUUGAUGGUUUCACGCUGUUAUCUUGUCAUCCUUGGAUGUUUUAUGUACCUUUUAUAUCUUUUUUGGGACUAACUUAUUAAUUUAGUGCCAAGUGCCAGUUCCUGUUUUUUCUGUGUUUUUGACUCUUUUCAGAUUUGAUUUUGGAACGGAGUCCAAACGGAAUAAAAACCCCGAAAUGAUUUUUUUCCGAAUGGAAGAAGAUUAGGGGGCCUCUGGGCCAAGACAGGUGGGAUCCAGGGAUCCCACAAGCUCCCACUCCGCCACCAGGGGGAGGCGGCGGUGUCAGGGCUUGUGGCCUCCCUGGCCGCCCCCUGACCUAGAUCCUUGGCCUAUAUAUUCCCAAAUAUUCAGCAAAAAAUCAGGGGAGCCUCGAAAAUACUUUUCCACCGCUGCAAGCUUCCGUUUCCGUGAGCUCUCAUCUAGAGACCCUUCCCGGCACCCUGCUGGAGGGGACUUUGGAGUUGGAGGGCUUCUUCAUCAUCAUCAUCGCCCCUCCAAUGACUCGUGAGUAGUUCACUUCAGACCUACGGGUCCGUAGUUAGUAUCUAGAUGGCUUCUUCUCUCUCUUGGAUCUUCAAUACAAAGUUCUCCAUGAUCUUCAUGGAGAUCUAUCCGAUGUAAUCUUCUUUGGCGGUGUGUUUGUCGAGAUCCGAUGAAUUGUGGAUUUGUGAUCAGAUUAUCUAUGAUAUAUAUUUGAGUCUUUGCUGAUUUCUUAUAUGCAUGAUUUGAUAUCCUUGUAAGUCUCUCCGAGUCUUGGGUUUUGUUUGGCCAACUAGAUCUAUGAUUCUUGCAAUGGGAGAAGUGCUUGGUUUUGGGUUCUACCAUGUGGUGACUUUUCCCAGUGACGGUAGGGGCAGCAAGGCACACAUCAAGUAGUUGCCAUCAAGGGUAAAAAGAUGGGGUUUUUAUCAUUGGUUUGAGAUUAUCCCUCUACAUCAUGUCAUCUUGCUUAAGGCGUUACUCUGUUCUUAUGGACUUAAUACACUAGAUGCAUGCUGGAUAGCGGUCGACGUGUGGAGUAAUAGUAGUAGAUGCAGAAAGUGUCGGUCUACUUGUUUUGGACAUGAUGCCUAUAGAUAUAAACAUUGCAUAGAUAUCGUCACGACUUUGCGCGGUUCUAUCAAUUGCUCGACAGUAAUUUUUUCACCCACCGUCUACUUGCUUUCAUGAGAGAAGCCACUAGUAAACACUACGGCCCCCGGGUCUAUUCACAUCCAUCGUUUACACCUCCGCUUUUACUUUGCUUUGUUACUUUGUUGCUUUCAGUUCUCACUUGGCAAACAAUCUAUAAGGGAUUGACAACCCCUUCAUAGCGUUGGGAGCAAGCUUUUGUGUUUGUGCAGGAUCUUGAGAUACUCCUCCACUGGAUUGAUACCUUGGUUCUCAAACUGAGGGAAAUACUUACCACCGCUACGCUACAUCACCCUUUCCGCUUCGAGGGAGCACCAACGCAAGGCUCCAAGGCCACGGAGGAAAUCCUUUGCAUACUUGCCCAGGAAGUCCCUUAAGGCGUAGCCGCAGCUGAAGGAUCAAGCCAAGUAUUCUCCCGUCGACGUGCCUAUUUCUAGCGCCAUUGGAAGGUCUUUUGUUGCAGUAGCAGUGGCCCUCUCUCAGAAAAUGGACCUCGCAAGUCUAAGUGUGUUCUGAGUGCUUCCUGUACGAAUGAGAGGUAAAUGAAACUCGAUAGUGACGAGUUGCACCAAAUGUGACAACUUUUGAAUUCUUGGCGAGACCGAUGUAGGAAUCUCGGUGGUACUGAUACGAUGACCUAGACCAGUUUCCAAAUCUCGGUGAGACUGGUUUCAAACUCGAAAAUUCUAAUUCUUGAAAUCUUCUCAACAGAAAGUUGGUUGGUCACUGAAUCUCAGUGGCACCGAGAGGAAUGUUGGUGGUACCGAGAUGGUAGGGUUUGGCAUAGGUUCUGUCAAGUGUAAAAUUGGUAGGGCCGAACGGAAAUAGUUGGUGGCACCGAUUUUGCAGGUUUAGCUUUGGACAGAGAUAUUUUGUGGGAGAAUGGCUGAAUAUUUUUGGUGGCUACCUCUAAGCACUUCAGCAACCAAUUCAUCAUAAUACCUCACCCUCUUGUGAUAGUAUUGGCUUUCCUAUGGACUCAAAGUGAUUUCUCACAAAUGUAAAAUGUAGAGUCUUCUUGCGUGAAGCUUGAGCCAAUCCUAUUCCUUCCUGGGCAUCUCCUCAUAAUCCUAUAUCCAAAGCAUCUUUGAACUUUUCUGAAAUAUACAUGAAUAAACUCAUUAGUCCAAUGAUGCAUAUGUUGGGAUUAAUUACCAAAACCACCUUAGGGAGCAAUUGUGCUUUCAUACCGGUUUUGGGACAGAGGUUCCGAAAGAGUUCCGCGGGUCCAUUGGGAGGGUCCACUUGUCCCGUAGGGCCCCAUGGGUUGUGAGAGAUGGUCCACGAGCCCCUGGUGGGCUGGCCGCACCUCCCACAUAAGGCCCAUGCAUCCAAGGAGGUGGGUUGGCCGAGAGGUGUCCGUCGCCCCUCCUUCCUUGAGGGCCAAGGCAGCCCCUUGGUGAUCGUCGCCCCACCCUAGCAGAAACCCUAGGGCGUCGGCCUCCCCUACUCUCCCUCCUAUAUAUACUGGAGGAGAGGGAGGGUACCUGCACCUGAAAAGGCCAUGGCGCAGCCCUCCUCUGUGUCUCGUAGUUCUUCUCCACCGUCGUGAUCGCGAUAGUGCUUGGCGAAUCCCUACAUAAAUCACACCACCACCGCCACCACCACGUUGUCAUGCUGCCGGAGAACUUAGCUGCUACUUCACCCACGCUCGCUGGAUCGAGGUGGUGAAGGCGUCAUCGAGCUGCACAUGUGCUGAACACAGAGGUGUCGUCCAUUCGGCACUUGAUCCGGACUUUCGUGAUUGGAUCACGGGACGGAUCGUGACUGGAUCGCGAAUACAUUCGGCUACAUCAACCACGUUUCUCAAUGUUUCCGCUUAGCGAUAUACAAGGGUAUGUAGAUGCACUCCCCCUCUUGUAGUUGUUGAUCUCCAUAGAUUGUUCUUGGUGAGGAUAGGAAUUUUUUUUGUUUCCCAUGCAACGUUCCUCAACAAUCGCACCCUCCGCUCCUCGACGACCAGAUGAACCAGGUGGUCCAAUUGUUGCGUCGGGCGAGGCCAGCCAUGGAGGACCUCUACAUCACCCUCUGGCCCGUCGAACCAUUACCAAGAAGUCUCUUCAGCUUGGUUCACCAACUCCAAGGUGCCAGCCCCCAAGUCCACGACUGGAAGCAUGCCGCUUGCCUGGAGGGUACUCGCCUGGCGUAUGAGGUGAGGGAACUGGUCCACCAUAGGCAGGAGGAGAUGCAACCAUGCCUUAAGUGCCCUACCCAUUCUUUCCUUGAGAGUAACUUGGCUUUAGGCUAUUAUCCAUCUCCUUGACAGAUUUGACAUCCGCUUCCAAGGAAGUAGGAUCAAUUACUUCCUUGGGAGCGAUGGUAGGUUUUAUACCCUCAAGGAAUUUAGUUAGCAUGUCCUUGACCUCGUCCACCAUAGUUGAUUUAAGUGAGCCAUUGCCUCAUCUAAAUCACCCUAGGUGACCACAGUUAGGUCCACGGUCGUGAGGAUAUCCUCCUCCCUCAUCCUGUAGUCAACCAUAUUCUUUAGGCGGUAAACCCCUUGAUAAAGAGAUGUAUCUUUGAUACCAACUGAAAGGAUCGAUAUGGUCGACUAGAGGGGGGUGUAAAUAGGCGACUUACAACUUUUAACUUAUUUUAACAAAUUAGGCUUAACAACAAAAUAGGUUGUGUAGGUAUGCAACUAGGUGGACAACCUAAAUGAUGAGCACAACAACAACGACAAUUGAAAUCACAAGAUAGAAACACAAUAUAAGCUUGCACAAAGUAAACAUAAGAUUUAACUACAAGUAGAGUCGAUGGAGAUGAGAAUGUGUUAUGAAAGUUCGUUCCUUUUGGGGGAGGUACGUCCCCAUUGGAGCGGCGUGGACGCAUUAUGCUCCCCAAGAAUCCACUAGGACCACUGUAUUCUCUUCACACCCUCACAUAAUGCAAGAUGUCGUGAUUCCAUUAGCGGUGCACUUGAAGGUAACAACCAGACCUUUACAAACAAGGUUGGGGCUCUCUCCACAACUUAAUUGGAGGCUCCCAACACACCCACAAAGCUUGAACACAAUGGAUUGUGGCUCCAUGAUGACCUCUUCUAUCUAGGGUGACCAAACACUCAAGAGUAACAAGUUGAUGAUGAUGCAGAAGCCAGGGAACGCAAAAAAAGUUUGGUGGAAGUGUAGGUCGGGUGAACCACCUCUUAUACCCAAAGUAUUGUGGAGUUUAGGUCAAUGAGAAAGGAGAUCUCAAGGUUUUGGAGGUUUGGAAAUGAUGGACCAAAGCUUCGGCAAAGGUGUGGGUUAGGAGGAAGAAGAAUGGUGGGUAUUUAUACCCCCAAGGGAAAUAGGGCCAUUGCUCAGCUGCCACCCUGGGCACCCACAAAAGGGUCCGAGAACCUAGACAAAACCGAAAAACAUAUCAUACCCAUGGAGAGGACCGGGCACCGGACCCCGUCCACCCGGGCUUGGAUAAACCACCUUGCCAACAUUUUGGUGACCCCAAGCACCUGGUCUAGGUCGAACUAACAUGAUAGCGUGCGGGUGACCCCACGCACCCGGACCAGGUCGAACCUAGUUGUCCAUUCACUCAUGACUCUGGACACCUAGACUACAAGAAACACUGAAUUUUCAGAGACAUUUUUUACCGAUGAAACCUAACACAUAUAGCAAGAAAAGUGUAUGGAAGACUAUUGAGUCCCCAACUUCAAAAUCACAGCAACCCCUCUUAAUGGUACAUAACUUUUCGAGUCGCAGAAGAACAUCGUAUUUUCCCUCUGUGAAUUGAUGGGGUUACCAACGUACGUAGACAGAAUAGAGAAGCCAAUGUCCUGAGAUAAACUUGACAACCGACAUUAGUCCUCGCAAAUAAUAUUGUGAUCAACCACCAAAAUCGUAAUUGAGUGACAAUUGCACUUUCACCAUCUUACGAAGCCGAUCACUAGAUAAUCAAAAUAACAAUGCUACCGAAAGAUAACACAUGACGAUCGGAAAACAACGUCACAUUAAUCCCUAAUACACCUAAGCUCCAUGACAAUGCCCUCAGGAGGGAUAACGAUGCAGAGCGUCACCGCUUCCGUGUCCACAACAGACAAAGGUCUUCACCUGGAACCCAAACAUGGAUAGGAGCGCCACAACGACGUCUUCAAGAAGAGAGCGCGCCUGCGAGCGUCGCUAUCAACGGUGCCAAAGCGCAGGGCUUUCACCGGUAGCUUCCUCUGUCACCACGAGGUCUCCAGGAGAAACACAACUAGUUUAGAUUCCAAACCCAAAUCGAGGCACUGUCCUAGUCAGAGACAAAAGAGUGUGUUCCAGCCACCCACCGCUUUGCCUCUCGCCGUCCACAAGACCUAGAGGAACAAACAUCACCACCGCCAUAUAGCCCGUCGGAGAGCCAACCAUGCGGACCACCUUCCAGGGUCGCCGUCCUGUCAUCCAAACUACGAGACAUCGCCACUCGCCCACUCCACAAUGUAAAAAAUGCGGCAGAAAAAGCCCGAUAUCGGCCCUAGAGCCUGGGUCGACGCCACCACCGUAGGGGUGCCUAAGCCUGCGAUCCUCUCCCUUCUUGGUGGACCGAGGGGAGAUAUGAUCAUGUGGUUGCCGACGACCGUCAUAGAGUCAUCAACUCACAUGAUGCCACAUUCGCGAGCUUUAACACCGAUCCAACGCCCGGCCAUCGCUAUCCCAACCACCACCGUCACGAUCCUUCACUGACGCCAUAACGUGUAGAUCCCCCCCCCCAAUCGACCAGCAAGCUCCUGCCUUGGCCUGACCUCGUGCAAGGAGCAACUGAUCACGGACGGAUGACCAUGUUAAACUCCUACACCGUCGACCAAUCCACGACCCUAGCCCACUACCAGGCAUCGCACCGGCGGGAGGCGGGCGCCGCCCCAUCAUAUCUAGACAACCCAGAUCCCGACGGGGGCGGUCAGGCAGCCGGCAACUCCCGUCACCGAACAACAACACCCGUGCCCGCCCCGCCCCAUCCGACUCCUCGCGCAACACCCUGCCAAGGGCUCCAUGCCAUGCGCACAUCCCCGCAACCCCCAUGCUCGAGAGAGGACCCAAUGGCCACCGACGUCGCCAGCAGCCGAGAGGCAUCAUCCCCCGUCUAGGCUUUGCCCAGCGGCGCGCUCCGACGACAACGAGGAGAUUAGAGGCGGCGACGGCGACGAUGACUACUUCUAGGGUUAAGGGGGGAGGGGUGGCAUGAGUCUGGGCGCUCUAAAUGCUAAUGUUGGCUUUCCAAUUCCACAAAGCCUCUUGGUUGGUCGAAGGAUGGUGUGCAUAGAACAACACAGAUUUUCAUUUGAACCAAGAAUGGACACCCUUCUUUUAUGCAUCUACUACUAGCGUGAAAAAUACAAGGACAAACUCCUUGGUAGCGUCCAACCAAAACCGUGGACCAUAGGCAACGAUCAGAUCACACACACAGAUCAACCCAUCUGCCAAGACUUACGGCAAAAUUCCACUGCUUCGGCAGAGCGCAGACGAUCCCAGACGAGACGGCUGCCUGCCUUCACUCCCCCCGCACCCGCAGCCACCGCUCCCAGAGGCGCAGUCGGCAGUCAAAAAAGACAUUAAAAGCGGGUUACUCUGCUGCCCCAACCACUCCGCCUCCGGCUCGUGCUUUCAUUGCUCGCUCGGCCCCGUCUCCCGAGUAAGUAAAACCAGUAACAAUGGAGGAUGGCUGCUGCUCGAUUCAUCUCUCCCCUUGGUGAGGUGAGGUGUAGCGGUAGGCAGCAGCUGGGCAGGAGUAGCGUUGGCUCGGCUGUGCGAGCGUCUGUCACCCCGCCGACGGGCCAUUAAUCGCUUGCAGGUGGAGGCCCGUCGCCGGCUCUCGACUCGCUUGCUGGGGGAGGCGGGUGAGAGAUCCCCAUGUGCUGCGCAUUGGGGCGCUCUCGCCACCUGCGUUUCUCUCCCUGAGGCAAGCAAGCAGCAGCAGCAGCAGCCAUCGUCUCUCGCGCCGCGGGCAGCCGCGCGUCUCACCUGCCCCGCCUCUCCCUCCCUCCAUUCUUGCCCGCUCCUGACCUUGGGUGUGAGCAAGGAGGAGGGGAAGCUUCUGCGGCGGUGGUUCUUGGGAACCCCCGGCGGCCGGCAUUCAGGUCAGAGGUUCUCUGCGGUGCUUCCGUUCUUGUUACUCCUGUUUCUGUUUGUGUGUGUGUGUGUGUGUGUGAUUCUGCCAUGUUUCUGUGUGUGAUUUGAGUGAAGUCUAUGCAUUUUCCAUUUCCCCCUGUAAUGCUUCCAUUUUGAAGAAAAAAAAUUGUGUGUGUAAAUAAUACUGUGGAAGAGAACAUCCAAAGCUGAAAGAUGCACACAACGAGAUUAUUACAAUUUUCCUUUCCCUACCGCAAAUUUGUUUUGCCUUCAAGUUUGCUUCCUUCGUUGCCUGUUUCUUCUUCUUCAAGUUUUUGCUUGCAAGCUCAGAUUCGUACAGUAUCUUACGUGUUCGUCAUUUUCCCCCCUUCUGGUUUUUGCUUGCAAGGGGAGUCUUAACAUUCCUCCAAAAAUUAACCAAAGAGUUUGAGAUAUCUGCAUUUGAAGUAGGAUAUGUUCAAUUUACUGUAGUUGCUGCUGUGCAAUUAUUGAAAAUCAAUGCUCCCCCCUGUAGUUGUCACAGCAUGUCAUUUUCUUUGUCGGGUCCAAACAGUUUUAAAGGCCUGCACCUUCAAAUAUAUUUUUACUGCUAACGAGUAAAAAUUAUCCACCCUGCUUUUCUUGUUCAAAUUCAAACUGGACUACACUUUGUUUGAGAUUUGCUGCGUCCCGCCGCCAAAAUAGUUUGAGGUGUUUUCACGGUGAGCGAUAUCAUGCCAAUCAGCUUCUGUGACAGAUUUGCUAUCCUUCUCUUAGGAUAAGACACAUUUGCUUUUGGCCUUCAUUAUUUCAUCCUCACCAACUUACUGAAAAUUGUUAAUUUUCGCGCAGGAAGCUGUACUGUGAGAUCAAUAAAAGCAAAGUUCUUUCAACGAGCAAUUUUGCUGCUGCAAUUCUCCAUCCUGCCUUUCAACGAGCAAUUUUGCUGCUGCGAUUCUCCAUCCUGCCUUUCAGUACCAAAGUCCUGGCUGAAACUCUGAAACUCCUGGCUGAGAAAUUGGAAAGCGCACAACUUGCCAAGAUACACAGGCAGACAGUUGAAGUAAGAUACAGUCUUGGGCACAAAGCUUUGGCUCCAAUGGCUUGGCAGUUAAGUGCCCUUGUGAUGGCCAUAACCUGUUUGAUGUUAUCCCGAACAAGUGAGCAGUCCUCAGAAAGUGAGCUGCUGCAGCAGCUCAGGAAGCAGCUGGAGUACCCUAGGCAGCUGGACGUCUGGAAUAACCCAAGUGGUAACCCCUGCUACACUCAGCCCACUUCGGUGGUCACCGUAACAUGCGAGGGGGAUGCCGUUACCGAGCUCAAGAUAGUCGGUGAUAGGAUCACUAAGCCACCAAAGUUCAGUGGCUAUCCUCUUCCAAAUGUCAGCCUCUCUGAAGCCUUUGUUAUCGAUUCAUUUGUCACUACGCUGACAAGGUUAACUACCUUGCGGGUUGUGAUCUUGGUGUCUUUGGGCUUAUGGGGCCCUCUCCCCGACAAGAUUCACCGGUUGUCUUCGCUUCAAGUGCUUGAUCUGAGCUCAAAUUUUCUGUACGGCUCGAUCCCUCCGAAGCUGUCGGCCAUGUCGAGGCUUCAGACCCUGACACUGGAUGGUAACUACUUCAACGGAACUCUGCCAGACUGGUUUGGUUCGCUCUCAAACCUUACGGUCCUUCGUAUUCAGCGUAACCGGUUGAAAGGGUCAAUACCAGCAGCAGUUGGUAAAGCUACAAUGCUUACCGAGCUAGCUCUUGCCGGCAACAAUAUCUCAGGCGAGGUUCCAGGUUUGGGUAGUUUGGUAAAACUUGAGAUGUUGGAUUUGAGGGACAACGAGUUAUACGGAGAGCUUCCAGACAUGCCUACAGCAUUGGUAACAGUCUUGCUUAGCAAGAACUCAUUCAAGGGUGUUAUUCCGGAAAAGUUUGGUCAACUGAAAAGGCUUCAACACCUCGAUCUUUCAUUCAACUUUCUUGAGGGCAGUCCUCCUCAAGAACUCUUUGAUCUCCCAAACAUCAGUUAUUUGAACCUGGCAGCAAACAUGCUCAGUGGAUCAUUUCCGAGUAGUUUAACAUGCAGCAGCACCCUGGGCUUUGUUGAUUUGUCUACUAACCGAAUCACAGGUGACCUGCCUGCUUGUCUAAGUGCCAACUUGAAUAACAGGGUUGUUAAGUUCGACGGGAAUUGCUUUAGUGCUGACCCUGAACACCAGCAUGAAGCUAACUAUUGUCAACAACCUCAUAAGGGGAGAAGAUCAAGCAAGGAUGUUGGACUUGUGGUUACUAUUGUCGGUAUAGUGCUGAUUGUGCUUGUUCUUUCUCUUCUAUUAAUGGCAUCAAACAAAAGAAACUGUCAGAGAGUUACAGCAGAACAACAGUUACUGCAAAAGCAAAUGCAAGAUAAUUCGACUUCAGGAAUGUCUUCUGAACUGCUAGAAAGUGCAAGUAAGACUUGUUCCCAGUAAUAUUGCAUUUAUAACCCCCCCCCCCCNNNNNNNNNNNNNNNNNNNNNNNNNNNNNNNNNNNNNNNNNNNNNNNNNNNNNNNNNNNNNNNNNNNNNNNNNNNNNNNNNNNNNNNNNNNNNNNNNNNNNNNNNNNNNNNNNNNNNNNNNNNNNNNNNNNNNNNNNNNNNNNNNNNNNNNNNNNNNNNNNNNNNNNNNNNNNNNNNNNNNNNNNNNNNNNNNNNNNNNNNNNNNNNNNNNNNNNNNNNNNNNNNNNNNNNNNNNNNNNNNNNNNNNNNNNNNNNNNNNNNNNNNNNNNNNNNNNNNNNNNNNNNNNNNNNNNNNNNNNCCCCCCCCCCCUCUUAAGGUCUUACUGGACGUUCACAUGUGUCAUGUAUGAAUCACAUAGUUUCCUUAUUUUUUUACAAAAAUGUGUGGAGUUAGCCGGCCCAUUUCUUUCUUAUUUAGAUGAAGCAAAUGUGAUAUUUUACGAGUUCAGAUGCUUUAUACAGAGAAUGUUAAUCAACAGACUUUUACAUGUUAACUAUCCUGCCUUUGUUCCUAUCUUAUACGUACUCUCCACUAUCCUAUACCUUGUAACUGUAUCCAAAUGUGCUUCAGCUGAAUGGCAUAAUGAUGGUGGUACUUCCAUGUUUUGAAGAAAUUCUGAUAUCGUAUUUGCAAAUACCUCCCUGAAUGAGCAAAAAGAGAAAGUUUCACUUCUUUAUUUGGUGUCACUUUGAAUCAUUUUCUAGCUCUCUUCAUUGCAGGGUACAUAUCUCAGGCUGUGAAGUUUGGGUCGCAAAUAAUGCCCACACACCGUGCAUUUUCUUUAGAAGAGCUCAAAGAAGCAACCAAAUGUUUUGAACGAUCAGCAUUUUUAGGCGAGGGAUCCAUUGGAAAGGUUUGCUGAUUUGUUCAUAGAUUCACCAAUUUCAAUUCGAAUUUACAUCAGAUAUUAGAUGCAUAAUAAAUGUACUUUCUAAAAAUGUUAAGAACAUAAUUACUCAACUUCCUAGUGAUACAAAUUGGAAAAUUUCCUAGCAUUGAAGUUCCUAUAGCCAUACUACUUUUGUGUUGCAUUUGUUACAGCUUGGUUGUCAUACACUUCUUUUUUCCUUGAUCUUCAGCUAUACAAGGGAAAACUAGAGAAUGGGACCGUGAUUGCAAUAAGAUGUUUGGCAUUGCACCACAGAUAUUCAAUAAGAAAUCUAAAGCUUCGUUUAGAUCUACUUGCGAAGCUUCGCCACCCAAAUUUAGUUUGCCUCUUGGGGCACUGUAUUGACAAUGCAGUUGAUGAAUCAAGUGUAAAAAGGGUUUUUCUUGUUUAUGAAUAUGUACCUAAUGCGACACUCUCUUCUUAUCUUUCUGGUAAGGAACUACACCUAAAUAUGGCAAUUAAUGUUAUAUGAAUUGAUAACCAUUCAACUAUCUAAUUUCUUUAUUUGUGCAUGCCCUUCUUGGCAGGCUCUACUCCUGAGAAAACACUGAAAUGGUGUGAUAGACUGCAUGUGCUGAUUGGCAUUGCAAGGGCUGUUCAUUUCUUACAUACAGGAAUAAUUCCUGGUUCCUUGUAUAAUCGGUUGAAAACUUCUAAUAUUUUGCUUGAUGAACACCACAUUGCAAAACUGAGCGACUACGGUUUGUCCAUAAUCACAGAGGAGAUAUACAAACAUGAGGUUCGCUUGCCAUUUAAACGAAAUCAUCAUAUCAUGUUUGAUCCCCUAUUAUUUAAUAUACACGUACAUUAAGGAUAGUCCAUGCUUUUUUUUAAUGCCAAUAGUUCUUUGGGUUUACAGGCAAUAGGAGAAGGGCAGAGAUACAUACAAAAUAAUGCUGAAGAAUUGUAAGUCCCCGAUUCAUCUACCAUUGCACCAAUUUACUCAAAUAGAUAAGCAAAUCUGGUUAUAGAGUUGAAGCAUUCUAUAAACUGAUGCUCAGCCAUGUCGAAACUGUAACAUCUAUCGAUGUUUUUGUAGGGAAACUUUGCAGGAUGAUGUAUGUUCUUUUGGUUGCAUUAUACUUGAAGCACUUAUGGGCUCAAAAUUACAUAGAAAAGGAGAUCCUUUUAUUUUAAGUGAACUGGUAUGUUUCCCCCUCUUGCUUUGUAGUGAAUAUUUAGAUGGAUCCUGCCUCGUGCCUCAUAUUCAUGUUUUAUUUGGCUAUGCAAUACUCAGUAUGCUUGUUUUCUGGGUUUUACAUGACAAUCAUUUCACAAGCCUACAGUAAAAAAUUGAUUUCACAAGCCAUGACUCCAAUCCUAUGUUCUUCCGUCCAUGCUCUUGUAGAAUCUGCGCUCCAAAGAGGCACGUACUACUGUUUUUAUGCUUCAUCUGAUAACUAAAGAAAGCGGGGUUUCCUAUGGUUUAUCACUGUUAGUACUUAGUACACACAUAGUAUGUUUUUGCUAACAUGGUUAUAGCACAAUUACUUGCCUACCCAGAAAGGGAUUGUAGGGUUGGCUUAGAUUUCUUAGAGAUAUAUUGGAAAGAUCUAUGUAGUAGACAUGUGUAGUAAACUAAAAGUGAUAUGUUUAAUGCACGAACAUUCUCAGUGAUGCUGCUUACAGGGAAAAUAAUCGGCAAUAAUACAGAAUCCAGUUAGCAUGCAUUUACUAAAAGUGAACUGCUUAAUGCAUGAAUGAUCAAGUAUUUCGGCUAAUGGGCCCCACAUCUGUCUGAAACCAGCAUGAAUACGUUUUGAUUGUACAAACGCUUACUGCCGAAAAACUAAUAAUUCACUGUCUGAGAAAUAUUUGCCUGUAUCUGCAGGUUCUGUCUUUAUCAUGCCAGGAAGAGCGUGAGCGCGUUCUGGACCCGGUCGUGCUUGGGACCUCAUCGCAGGAUUCACUCUCGAUGGUGGUCUCCAUCACGAUCAAAUGCCUAUCCGUUGAAUCUUCGACCCGGCCCUCCAUCGAAGAGGUUCUCUGGAACCUGCAGUACGCUGCGCAGAUCCAGGCGACGGCCGAUGGUGAUCUGAGAUCAGAAGUUUCGUCGCAAGCCUGUUAGCACAUCUGAGCAGCAUGGCAGCAUGGAAACCAUGACCUGCAGAAACGAAGGGAAGAUGGCGAGCAAGGGCCGUUUGCUCAGCAGACCAGGAAAUGGAAAAUGGAAAUGACUAGGCUAACUUUUCACAUUGCGCAUUUUCUCAGCAGCAUUUGUAUAUCAGUACAGGUUGAUUAGCAUGGCAAAUUUCUGCUUGUUUUUGCAUUGUAUGUUACUAGUGUUUUUUACUCUUGAUAGUAUAGCGGUUCUUGCACUUCUUGUGAGUUACAGAGGUGUUCUAGCAUUAAGCUUCUUCUGAGCAUUGGCGCUUUUUUUCAGUAUAAAUCUGGCUAAUCUGACGCCCUCAACAUUGGAUCCCGAUCGAACGCAUGGCAUUCACUUGCUGAAGCAUGGCAAUUUCUCUGACAAUUUUUUAUAUAACAUGAUGAUUUUCACUUUAGAACAUGACAAAUCUUACAACAUGACAAAUUUAUCUGUUUUCGCAUGGCAAAUCUGGACAUUUGCUGCCAAACGCUAAAAAUCACAGAUUUUUAACAUUUGCCUUUUUUUAUCAAGAGACAUCCUUCAAAAUGUGUACGGAGACCGAAGAGAGCCCAUGUCUAACUGAUGCAUGGUUCAAAUAUUAAUAUCACUAUUUCACCUCGUUACAAAAGGCAAGCUCACACUUGGAAACAGUAAUGUCAGCUACUGACAUCAUACUGAGUGCAGUGCUACAUGAUACUAUAAUAAAACACGAUAAAUCGCAAAAUCCUGUUCACACAGCUCAUAGUUUCAAUUCAAUGUCACAUCUGUGCGCAAUGAGGAGCUUACUUUACAGUUAUACAUACACUCUACCAAGGCAAACAGUGUCGCAGAAAACCUAACGACACAUGAGAGAUGAGAGGCCAACAUCUAGACAUACAAUGUGCUACAGCUUAUUCUUCCUCAUAUUCACAGCUGAAUGCCUGUGGAAAGUUGAUCAUCCUUGCUACAUAGAUAUGCAUACUUGAUAAGCCACAUUGAUCCGUCAAAUGUCAGUAUCUACAGAAAACAACAAGUUCUCUUCUUAACAUGGGAAAAUCAAAUUACUCUUAUGCAGAUGAAUAAAAGUAAUGUAUGCAAACUUACAAGAACAAUCAAUUUACUUAGUAGCGGCAAACGAUCCCAGCUUUGAUAGGUCCGGGACCCAGCAGGAUAGUUCUGAAGAUCCAGUCAAGAACAUCAGCGAUCCUGGAGCCCACCUAACCAGUGGUGGCUCGUUAUCUGUGCUCCCCCAGCGCGCAACCUGCAGGAGACCAUCAUUGUAUAUCGCUUACACAACUAAAACAUAUAAAUAGUACUGUGUAAUUUAACUAUAAAGGUUACAUGCCAGGUUCUUCCAUACCUUCUUUCCACUUCUAACACUCCAAGCAAAAACACUACCAUCACCGGAGCCUGCAAGAACCAAAAAAUAAAUAAAAAAUGAAUAGGUUUACUGAUUUAGAAAAAGAGAAUGGAGUGAUGAUAGGAAAGGGUGAUAGGGAAAGGUUUCUAACCAGAUAUGAUAUGGUUUCCAUCAGGGCUGAAUGAUGCCUCCAAUGGCGAAUUGGUUACAGCUGGCUUAACAUUGUAAGUUGCUAGCUGCAAAAAAAGAGGUCGUAUGAGUGUUUUCUAAGUCCCUUAGCCUGCGUUAUUUAAAGUACAGUCGGUAGCUCAAAUGCUUACAUUGUUGCCAUGAAAUGAAUCUAGCACAUGAAUACACCCUGCUUUGGUGGUUAAAAGAAGCCGCCUUCCAUCACUGCUGAACUUUAUCAUAUUGGCUUCUGAUUCAUCAUUACCAACGGAGAAAAUAUCAAAAGGCCCCUAUAGGGAUGUAAGAUGGUUAAAAUGUAUCGAACAAUUCAAGUCAAACAACACAGUCAACCACCACUACCUUCUCAAAUUUUCGAGCAUCAAACAUCCUUACAUAACCACCGUAAGCAACUGCAAAAACUAAACCCUGAUCAUCAUAUGAAACUGCAGGCCUCCCUUGCACACGUAGCAAGCCCUACAAAAUCCAAAGGGAACAAUUUACUAGUCAGAAAUCAUCGAAUAUUCACCUAUGGCUCCACCAUAUGUGUUUAGAUGUUAAGAAAUCCAGAUAAACUAAAUUGACCAUAUUCAAUACACCUUGUGCCUUUAAAAUAGGAAUACAGAAUCCAAUAAUGAUCAUCCUGGAACAAAAAAAUAUUGAGAACCACAGGGAUGCUAAGGAUUCGGUCCCAACUGUAGUACUUGGUAUACUUAGCUUCAGGAUAAUCAUCUGAAGGAGACUAAGAUAGUUUAACAGAGAAAAGAAAAGGUAGAAACAAAUCCAUAAUAGCUCUGUUAACUGUAAUUGCAGCUUGUUAAGUGAAAUGGCCGAGAGAUCAAUCGGAAAGAGGUUUUAUUAGAUAGUAUUUUCUAGUUUACAGUAUCAAUAGCUGUACCUGUGCUUUGUCAGCCCUCAGAUCCCAUAGGAGAACAGUUCGAUCAAGUGAACCAGAGAGAAAACUGUCUUUCUCGUAACAUAAUGACAUAGCAACAACCCUGGAAAAGGCAGACAGCGUAAGGAUUUUCUGUUCGCGUUAGAUUAACUGAAAUAUGCUGCCAUAAUUUGUCUUGCGUACAACGGACCUGUCAAGAUGGCCUUUGAAAUAUCUUACAAAACGGUUAUCAUUCAGAGAGAGUAGACGCAGAGAUUCUGCAAAAGUGCAUUCUUUUCAGUAUAGGUCUAAAAUCACUCUUAAGCGAAUAGAAGGUACAUUACAUACCAUCCCAGCCAUUUUUCGAGGAGUACAAGACAAGAGUUGGGUUUGUAGUGAAGCACACCAGUUCAACCCCAUACUUUUUGCUAUUAAUGGUCUUCAAACAUCUGAAAUUUCUAACUUCGUUAGAAAUCAAAUACAUAUAACGGACUAAUACAUUACUGACUACAUAAAAAAAUUUAAAAUUGCUACAAUAGUAUAUAUGCAUCGAGCCAAUUCCAUACUAGGAAAUUUCCUAACUACUAUUAAAAUAAAUACAAUAGUCAUGUGGGGCCCAGGCAUUAGGCAUAUAGAGAAUGCCAGGCCGGACCCAUUGGAGAGGCCGCCUCAGGAGAGGUGACAGCUGACUUGGAGUGGCGUCAUGUGUAUUCCCGGUCAGAUAUAUAUCAAAUUAUAUCUCUGAUUAGUUAUUAGACUGCUUUCAAAUAUUGGUUCUACCACAUAUAGUUGUCGAACAAAUCAUUUUCAAAAGCCAAGUGUAGUAUAAGCCUAACCCAAACCAUUGCAUAUUAAACAAAUCUAACAAUAACAUAAUGUAUUAUAUAGUUAACUGAACAACUAGCAAACCAAAUAUCAACACUAGAUCUUAGGAAAUUGUGUCUUGUGCCUAAUAAUAUCUAAUCAAGCCCUUUACAUGAUAAUACAACAUGAAAUACAGAAGAAAAUUAAGUAAUGAUUUGUACUCACACAGCAUUUUGAAUGUCAUAUAGGCGUAUUGAUUCAUCAUCACUGGCUGUCACAAGAUAGUUUGUGGACUUGCUGUGGAAAUCCAUAGAACUAAUUCUGCCAAUCUGCCAUAAAAUUAUUGUAUAGCACAAUAUCAAGUUACUACAGGUAAAGUGAAAUAUGUCAUGAUCUGGAAAAGAUGCAAUGUAAAGUGAAAUUAAGUUACUAUAUGUAAGCUAAAAAAUAAUACUCCCUCCACUUGGAAAUUAUAGUGCCUAAUGAUGCCAAUCUGCCAUAAAAUUAAGUUACUAUAUCUAGACGUACUUCAGUGCUAGAUACAUCCGUUUGAGCGACAACUAAUAUGGAUCGGAGGGAGUAUAAACAUUCAUCAUAUGCAAGCUUCUUUGAAAGAAGAGACUUCUCAAAUACAAAAUUAGGAGCUCACUUCUAAGAGGUGGCUGUUGUUAUGUUCAAGCUCAGCAACUUGUUCUUAGUUAGUUUAAAACAAUGUUUGUAACUCGAUAUUAUGGUAUCUAAUUAAUGUUAAAAAAAAGGACUACUAAAACAAACUCAUUAGGCACUGUACUGUCUAAUGUACAUUUCAAACUCUGUGUAUUUGUAUCCUUGCAGUAAACAAAGAGAGAAUCCAUUUGUGUGCAGUAAUCUAAACUAAAUCCAUAAGCAUCUCUACACCUUUGGAAUUUGGAUUAGCUAAGUCCUUACUGGAAGCACUAUUUCAAUCCAUCUUCUGAUCAAUGAAAAAAAAACACUACUUUUUUCUUUUACAAAACCUAAUAACACUAUUAGGCCCUGCUUGGGAUGCCAUUUUUGUGCCGAAUACACUUGUAAAACAAACACACACCUCCACCCACCGGUUUAGUUUUCACCUGGUUUUAUACUUAUGACCGGUAUAAUACCUCUGUAAACUAUUACACCUGUAAAAACAAAACGAGUUUCCAAGCGAGGCCUUACAAACCCCUCUUCGGACCAAUGUAAGUUGCUCCAGUACUAAGGGAGUGUUUGGUUUGUGAUUUAGGUUGAGGUUUUGCUUGCCCAUAAGUUGGCCAAAAUCGGCUAGAAAAAUGAACUAGAUUGCCAAAGGAGCAAUGGCAUGCCAAAAAGUUGGCAAUGAGCAAAAUAUGGUAGGGCAGACAUUGGUGGCAACCCAAACAUACCCUAAGACAAUCAGCUGCCCCCAUGAGCUUCUUGCUUUUCGAGAAAGGAUAAAGCAAAAAGGGAUAGUUCAUAAUUCCAGCAGGUAAGAGAAACGGAUUGCAGCCCUUACAUAGUCCCGGAAGGCCAAGCCGACCUCCAUGGUCUUGAGCAUCUCGUCGGUGACCUCCAUGGUCACCCGCUCCUCCUUCUCCCCGGCUACAAAAUUAACAAGAAGAGAACAACAAUAAAUCAGCCUGGCUGCCUGGGAAACAAGGGACACGAACCGCGCCGUAUAUUUGGGCCGGACUGAGGGUCCGAAUUCGUACCGGGCAUCUUGGUAUGCACUCGGCGGCCGGGGUAGCACCAGGAGAGCCCUUGUACACGGAGCCGACCGCCGGGAGAGGGCAGGCGGCGGCGGCGGUCGCGCGGCACAGACUGGGAGCGCAAGGAAGGACGGGGAAUAUUUUUCCUUUUUAGGGGAAGGAGCGCAGCAGCCAGGUAAUAGGGACUAGGGCGGAGGAGGGCGGGGGAGGGUGGAGAGUGGCGGCGGCUCGCCGUCGCGGAGGGGCAAAAGUUCUUAUUUUUCUGGAGGAAGGGGGACGAAUUGAGGUGAACGAAGGAAGAAGAAGUGCGAGCGAAUUGGGCUGGUCGGAGCGUGGCCCGCUGGACUGCUAAGUAAGGCGGCUGCUACAAAUCCGUAAGCCCCCGUCCCAUGCGUCGAGCCCCCUCGUCGGAUUAAGUUCCGACACCGCCCCACCUGAGCAGCCGCGCGUCGACACACCUCGCAGCAUUUUGCUUGCUGCAUUGAAACGUAUAUCCCGACACCGCCCCACCUGAAUCCCCACGGAUCGCGGGCGGUGACGCGAUUGGCGACCUGCGGCGACUCCGCUCUCCCCACCCACCCUCCUGCCCGUCACCCUCUGUCGCCGUUCCAUCCCCCCACACCCCAUCGCCGACCGGCGACCUGCGGCAGAUCUCGCUCGCCUGCACCUAAUUGUAAUGCCACAGCCGCCAAACGACUCCGCCCUCCCCACCCACUGUUUGGACCACCAUGACGCAACACAUCUACAUAGACAUGGCUGCUUCAACUUUUGCUCGAAGCUCAGAUGCAUCCAGCUACAUAAAUCCAACCGUAUUAUUCUCAGAAAAUCAGACGUAUGGUUCCACAGCAGAUGUGGUGAGUUACUCUGUAAAAAAAACAUUUAUGUUGCAAUGUUACUAUGCUAAAAAAAGUCAUGAUGUCAAAAUAUGAAGCAAUGCUUGUGAUUCUAUGGUUUUUUGAGUUGAGCAUGGUAGUCUUUGCCCGGUUAAAAAAUCAGUAUGGUUGCUGUAAAAAUACAAUCAUACAGUAUUCAGAAAAGAUAUGAAGUAUAAUGCUUGUGUUGAAUAUGGUAGUCAAAUGUUCAGAAAUAUAUGUAUCCCCAAAAAUAUGAAGUAAUGUCCAUUUAAGUAUGUUAGUCAAUGCUUGUGUUGCAAUGCCAGUAUGCUAAAAAGACUCCUGCUGUCAAACUCAAUAUGAUUGUUGUGCAAAAGAAAUGUUGUAUCCUUGUCCAACAAUGUUUAAAAAAAUGUGUGUUCAAAAAGUAGUAAAAAGUCAUGGUACAUAACUAGUAAUGUUGUAAACUUCUGUGAACUGGAAAUGUGUAUAAAUGCCCUGAUCAGAAAUAUGUUGUUAUGAACUACUCUGAAGAAAUGUUAAAUCCUUGUAUCCAUGUCCUGCAAAAAAAAAUCUUUUACAACAAUUACUGCGCUGCAAAUUUCAUGCAUACUUGGCGAUCUAUUGAUGUUAAAAAAGAACUGAUGUAUGGAUGUAUUUUUCAUGUUUUUUUGUAGGAUGCUCAUGAUGCAACAGCAGCUCAACAUAGCUAUACGGCGCAUGAUUUUGUAACAAAUACAAGAACGAAUUCACAUGCUGGACUCAACUCAACUGCUACAAUGUAUGAUUGUGAUGAUGAGGAAGAAGAAAUUUCAUCGCAGCCACUCUUACCAUUUGUUGGCAUGCAAUUUGACACUAUCGAUGAUGCUAGAAUAUUCUACAAUGAAUAUGCCUUCAAGACUGGAUUUGGAAUACACAUAGGCGCUUCUCGAAACAACCAAAAGAAAGGUCCUACGACACUUAUCAAGAGGGUUUUUGAGUGUGUCCACACAGGCAAGCCAGGAAGCAAAGCUUAUAGUAGCACUGCUUCAGAGGGUCUAUCAGUUGGUGCAGCCUCAUCUAGCAAAGAUAGCUGCUUCGAAAUGGAUGUUAUGAACAAACGUCAAAAGAAUAGGUUGCUGCGACAUGAUUGCAAAGCUAAGAUGAUAGUUGGAAUCAAGGGAAACAAGUGUGUUGUAUCACAUUUUGUUGCGUAGCACACACACCCCCUGAUGCCACAGCUAGAGCUUGUACGAUACUACCGCUCACACCGCAACAUUCCGGAAGAAGAUAUGGAUCUCAUAAUGACCAUGCAUGAUGUAAACUUCUCAACUUCAUCGUGCAUGGGGAUGCUCUCAAGGGUGCGCGGCAGAGACCGCAAGAUACUACCAUACGUGAAGAGGGAUGUUUCAAAUGUCCGGUCAAAGCUGCGCCGAAACCUAAACCUCCGAGACAUGGAUUUGACAGUUGAGUAUUUUAAGAGGCGGGUAGCUGAGAAUCCUCAGUUCUACUAUGAAAAAAUUGUUUAUAAGGACACCAACUCAGUUACAGGGCUCUUUUGGGUGGAUGGCAGGACAAGGGCAUUGUACCCUAAGUACAAAGACUGUGUUUUUUUUUAUACAACAUUUUAUACAAAUAGAUACAACAUGCCAUUUGCUCCGAUUGUCGGAGUGAACAACCAUUUGCAAACGGUGCUGCUCGGUUGUGCGUUGCUACCAAAUGAACAGAUUGAAAGUUUCAAGUGGGUCUUCGAGAACAUUCUGCUUGCAAUGAACAAUGAACACCCAUUGAACAUUAUGACAGACCAGGACAAGGCCAUGGAAACUUUCAUAUCUCAAGUCUUCCCCAACACGGUGCACAGAUACUGGAAAUGGCAUGUCCAGAGAAAAGCUCAUGAGAAGCUUGGCAGGAUAAUGAGCAGAGAUGAGGUUUUUGAGCAUGCUUUCUACAAGUGCAUCAACGAUUCUAACACGGUUGAUGAAUUUGAGGAGAACUGGCAGCAUAUGAUACAUUGCUUCGAAUUAGUUGAGAAUAGACAUCUUUGCAACAUGUGGCGCACCCGUUACACGUGGGUCCCAACGUUCUUUCGGAAGUGCUUCUUCCCCUUCACAAGCACUACUGGGAGGUCAGAGGGGCUAAACUCCUACUUCAAGACACUUGUGCACCCUCAAGAUUCGGUGGGGAGGUUUGUGCAACAAUAUGAGAUGCUACAGGAGACUAUGCUAGACCGUGAGGACAAUCAAGCUUUCAUUGGUGCAGCAACCACAGCCCCGCUUUACUCUAGGUACAACAUUGAACGUCGGGCAGUUGGUUUCUACACUCGGAGCGUGUUUUCCAAGUUUCAAGCAGAAGUGGAUGCAUCAACAAGCUUUGUUCUGAACCAAGUUCCUUAUGUUGACAUUAGAGGUGUGAAAUUUGAGAUCUUUUCAAAUUACUAUGAAGACCCCAAGAUAUUUACAGUAAAUGUUGAGAUGGAACAAGAGAUAUUUGAGUGCAGCUGCAAUUGUUUCGAAAUGAAUGGCAUCGUAUGUGCGCAUAUCAUUAGAGUCAUGGUCCACCUCAAUGUGCAAGCUAUACCACAACGCUACUUGCUAGAACGUUGGUCGGAACAAGCAACUACACCAACCGGCAAUAGUGCUCAUCUACCGGAUUUUGCGCUCCCUUCGAACAAUACACUCAAGUACAACUCAUUGUGCAGGAAGUUCACAUGGUUAGCCUCUCAAGCUUGUAGCAAUGAUGUUGCCUACAAAAUACUAAAUGAUGCAGCUCAUACACUUGAGCCCAUUAUUGCUGCAGCAAAAAAGGGGGAUUGCAAGAACAACGGGAAUCACAACAGCAGCAACAGACCCCACAACAAAACACAACACAACAUGAGCAGCAGCCACCAACAAUGCAGCAGCAGCACGUGUCGCGUCAGCCAAAGAAACAACAGACAAAAUAGCCAAGACAGCAGCCCCCAAAACCCACAAUCCAACAACCAGAUGCACCCAACCCGCUGGUUGAACAAGAUACCGGGGAGAGUGUCAUGCUUGAAAACCCAACGUGUGUCCCAAGAAAGGUCGACCAUCGGAAAAAUCAAGAAGGAGAAAGACUUUGCUUGAGCAAAGAGAGGAUGCAGCAAAGAAGAAGGCAAAAACAGAGGAGAAGAAGAAAGAAACAAAACCCAGAGGAAAACUUGGACCAAAGAAGAAAAAAAGACAUAUGCUCAUACUGCAAAGAAGAUGGUCACAGCGCCCAAGAUUGCGAGCAGUUGAAACUUGCGAUGGCUGUCUAGAAAUGCAACUAUUGCACCGAGGAUGGUAAUGCUGCGAAUACAUGUCCCUACCUGAGAGCUGCAAUAUCAGUGGAUGCAAAUGUCGCUAGAGCAACAAAACUUACUACUUAGGCUUUGAGAAAGAAAAAAGACAUGAACAGCUCAUUCGCUUGCUGCAUACAAAAAAGUGAAAUGGAGGGGCUGCUAUGUCACCGUAAAUUUUCUCCUUUCUAGUUUUUGGUCACAUGAGAAAGUCUCCUUAAAAAAUGUAAAGAGCUAAUUAAUGUAGCAGCAAAAACAUUGUUACAUUUGUGUGAUGGACAAUAGUGAAGGUAUCUAUUUAGUAUAAAUUUUCAGUGUCUACAAAGUGUGUGUUGGACAAAAAACUGGUGAUGUUUGAUUCUGCUCACAGCGUUCUUACAAUUAUGCUCCAUUUUUGAGACAAAAGCCAACUAUAAAAAAGAUAUAUGGUAAAAAACUAGCUUAUAGCUUCUGAGCAUAAAAUUUCAAAAAUCAGUAUGGUUAAAAAACAUCUAUGCAUCACCUUACAUUUUCGGAUAUAAAACAGCUUGUGGUGAUAAGCAUCAAGCAAAAAGAAACUAAAAUGUGUAGGAUGUCUCCUGACAGCAUUUCAAAGAAAAAAUGCAAAAAUGGGGACCCUGUAUACAUACUCUUAGGAGAACCUGACACUAAAAUUCAAACAAUGAAAGGUAUAUAAAAUGGUAAAAACACAAUUAUCGUAUAUUCAUCACACAGAAAAAAAUGAGUUGCAUUCAUCUUCAACAAAAGAAAAAGGGGACUGAUAACAAUUUCCUUUGAACACUCUAUAUUACCAUCCCAACAAUAGUACCUCCACAAGUUGAUUUAACAAAAUAAACACUAUCAAUGCGUCAAAGUACCUCCAACACGGAGUUGCAACAUUCCUAGACACUUAUGAAAAAAGAAAGGUUACAUCUUGGUUACAUCAAAAUGUAAACCACAAAAUCCAUCACUAAAAAUCGCACGAUUUAGUCGCCACGACGAAAACCAGUUCCAUCUCCACCAUUUAUCUUUAAUCAAACUUCCAGCAGCUUCCUCAGCUGCUCUGCAGGGUCCAAAUUGUUGCUGGGAUGCUUCAAAAGAUUUGCUGCAAUUCGUUUCCGGAGGUUGGGGAUGUAAGUCUGACAACAAAAACAAAAAGAACCCAAAAGGGGUUAAAUGGAUAGAAAAGGGCCGUUAACUGAAUUGAACAAAAUCAUGCACACCAUUUUAGGCACAAAAAUCAUAAAACUGUAACAGGCAAGUAUAAUUCGGUACCUCAUCAAAAUGCAUCAUGACAACACCAUUGUAGUUUUCCAAGUAUAGAAUUGCAUAGAAGCCACAAUUAUAACUGAAAAAAACAUUAAAAAGAAGAUAUAAGUAUUUUCAAAAAAAGACUCUUGCGCAACAUUGUCAAUCCAUACCAUCCUUGUUGCACACAAGGAAAACAAUUGAUUUACAAAAAUAUUAGGCAAAAAGGUUGUUAAAUUUAAGCACGAGUAGUUGGCACCACAACGUGGAGACUAAAAUCUGGAAAUAACAUCUAUAUACCGACAUACCAGCAGGUCAAACCCAGUUUCUUUGUUGGGUUUUUAAAAAAGUUUCACCAUAGGUAUAAGGAGUGAGUUGCAUCACACCAAGAGGCUAACCCAGGCCCAUGAACCCACUCACACCAUUAAUGAAUGGAAUGAAAAACUUAUGUAUCUAAGCAACAACAUCCUGUCAUAUAAGGAAGUGCAACAACACCACCAGCAUGCUUUCAUUGUCAUAGCGUCAGAAACUUGAUGGAUUGUAUGAAAUUAAUACAAAAGUAAGGGGACAACAUAAGUAGUUUCAACUUCUGAUAAAGUACCAUGCCAGGUGUCUAAACAGGCAACAGCUAUACUAGUUGUCAACUAAUUAUCAAUUAGAAAACUAUCAAUCAAUCCCUUAUCUACAUCAGAAAAAAAACCUUAUUGAGCAGCAUUCACAAAUCCUGCAGCCAUAUAGGGGAGAAAAACCACAAAACAGAUGAAAACGGUUGCCUCAUUCACAAGGAUAAACAUGGACAGGUCGAACUAAGCCACGAAUCUAAACAAGUACAAGCCUACAAGGUACAAAGCCUUACUGUAUUUCUUGUGUUGGGUAAUCUAGGGUGAUAAUCUCAAAGCAAUUGAGAUCAAAUUUGAACGCGGAUUCGCAGUUUGCAACCUUCUUUAUGUUGGUGAUCUGAUUGGAUGCAACAAAAAACAAUAUUUUAAAAAAAGGUAUUCUGGUGUUUGAAUCAUACUGAUAUUGAAACAAAAAGUGAUCACUCUCAGAAAAAGACAGGUAAUAAACUUCACUACCACAUUGUUGGUUGCAUUCGUGAGCAAUGUAACAUCCUCGGAAUUCUUGAUAGAGUCGAAGACAUUGAAUUGUUUAUGCAUCAAGUUAGCAACAACUACACCCCAAUGUCUGUUCUGGACAACAACAAUGAAAAGCUACGACGGAACAAAAACAAACUACAAGUAUAAAAAACAGGCUUGAUAUAAAAAUAAGAUACACACAACAAAUGGUGCAAUAUGAAACUUGGAACUUACUAUAUCAGAUUUUGUAAUCUGGUUAUUUUCGCAAGCCCUUCGGAACUCUCUUUCGCAACUUCUGGGAUUGAACAAGCCAGGAUCCACUGCCAAUUGAGACUGGGAAACAAGAAGGAAUUGGAUACUCAUUACCACUAACUGUGUCUAUUGUGUGCAAAAAAAAGUGAAGAAAAAGGAAAAAGCUAUAUGUGGGUAACACUAACCCCCAUGAAGACAGAGAAUUCAAACUUCUUUGGCUUCUUCCUGUUGUACAUUUGCUCCAGGUUGAAUGUUUUUAGAUAGAGUGUCAUUAUAUCGGAGUCAAUCUCGGCUCGUGGCUUCAAGGAAGAAUGGAAGUUCUCAAGUGAUGUGUGAAAACCCUCUAUUUCAAUGAAAUCAGGACUGCAAAAAUUUAAAAACAAAUUAGCACAGAAAACAGAUGGAAAAAAAUUACUACUUUCGACAAUCCAACGACCACACCAUAUGUUACAAUGAAAAUGAAAAAACAUACAAGCGAUAAAAAGGAGACUCACAUCGGUUUGCCGUGUUUUGUUUUUGGUAUCUUGUACCUGCUCAAAACAUACUGUUGGUACAAUGCAUCAUCUUUUGGCUCGAUCUUGAUCUUCUUCAUCCUUUGAGCACUAACAGAAGGCUGGGUUGUUCUCUUCUUUACUCCCUUCUUCACAUGUUUGAUUCGCCCGCUGCUAUCACUAACAAUCUUUGCAAGGCGAUCAUGCAUCUCUGCAUCAGUCUAACCUUGUUGCACUGGCACAAGGACUAAAACAAAAAUAUGAAGAGAGAGAAAACAUAAGUAACUCCGAAUAAACUACUUGAUACAUGGUAUUCAAAUAAAAGCUUCAAGCAGAAUAUAUGGCCAAAAAAAGGGGCAAACUUGGAGCUACAAGUGGAUCUGCAAAUGCAAUUGGAGAUGAUUGUCUCGGUAUGUUAGUGGACCUUGGAAGCUUUGGUUCAGUGUCAAAGCAAGGACCGUCUCCAUCGUUUUGCCCCGGAAGCUUUGUGUUGUUUCCCUGCGUUGCAUGCUUUGGGGUUUUGUCAUAUGUAGGUCCUGCUGAAACAUGGAUGGGAGUUUCCAUUCCCUUAUUUGCUUCCUUAUACUUCCUUGUUGUGUCAUCAUCCAUAUUGAGCCAUUCGAAAUCUUCAGUUCCCUCUUUGAACAGGCUCAUUGAUGGACCAUCAUCAAACUCCAAGGCAAGUCCUUGCAAUGCAGCCAUCGUGCCGUGUGACAGAAUAACAUUCUGACCCUCAUCAGCAACAUAUGGAUCUUUCAAAACAUCUGCACCAACUUCAGUGCCUACUGACUUCUCGCGUUCUCCAAGAAUAGGUCCUUGCUGCACAUCUUCCAUCCCUGGAAACCCGCAACUCUGCAUUUUCUCCAAACCAAUGUCCCGUUGUGCUUCAUUCUGGUUGGUGUUGCUACAACAUGCAACUUCCUUGUCUGCAUCCACUUCUUGUGGUGUAGGACUUUUGUGAGCUUCAGGGCUAGUGUGGAUGGGAGCCCUGGUGUGAUCUACGUCUGGUGCAUUGCCGUCUGGAGCAUGAAAUGUAACAUCUUUGGGCAUAUGAUCAUUGUUUCUUGUUGCAGUGGCAUUAGCUUCAACCAAAAUAGAUGCCAAACGCUUACAGAACAUUGCUUCCAGAACCUGGCCAAAUGAUUUCAAAACCUUCUUAACUUCUGUUGCAUGCAGCUUCUUGUGCUUUUCGUAUACUGGUAUCAUGUGGCUUGGGAUCUGUUUCAAAAGGAAAAGAACAAAUGAAAAACAGAGGAAAAAUUGUAGAUUGCCCUCAACGAAGAAAAGCAGGCACACACAACAAAAAUAAUAAACAAAAAAAUAAAGCAUUGCAACAAGUUGUUGUUGCUGAAAAAAAUGAUGAGAACCUCAUGAAAAAAGUGCUUACCUCCAUUUCCUCACUUGAAGGCAGUGGAUGCAACCACUCAUCUAGAGAGCCACAGACAUCACCGCCAAAGUCGCAUCCAUCAAAGGUUGAGUUGCUUGGUAUAUCAGGGAUGUGUGCAUCUGUCCGAACAAACUUGUUGUUCUGAUGUCGAGUUUCACCGCAGCCGUCUAGCCGUACGCACGACGUCUCCGCCAAACGGCGAAGCUGUGAAAACCAGUGCAUAAAAAGGUUUAAACCACAACCAAACAAAAAAGGAUUGGAAAAAAUGAAAAAAAUAAAAGGAUAAUGUGCUCUUACAUUUCGUUUUCCAAAAUCAAUCUUAUCUAGGCUUAGCUUAUUCCUAUCAAUUUCUUGUAUCAACUUAAAGUCGUCGUUGCAAACGAAGCAAGACCUUGGGAGAGAGUAGUCAAUUCUAUGCUCAGAAGCUAGCAAACGAGGCACCUCAACAAAGUCCAUGUAAAUAAUCUAAAACAAAACAUAAAAAUAACAUUGUGAGACAACCUAUCAUAGAUGGAUGCUGCAGCGCAAAAAAAAGAAAUGAAACAAAAAAUAUUGACACGCAACAAGCUCAUGGGCCACACCGCGAACAUUGGUAGACAGCCACCGAUCCAGAAGGCAGUUUUCCCUUCAUUCCUCUUCUUUUGAUACUUCUUGACCUUAUUCAACGCAACAACCAAGAAAUGCUCAUCCCAAGCAAACUCAUUGAUACUGUCCAUGUCAACCAAGAUCGCAAGAUACUCUAAAGGAACCAUGUUACCAGUACCAGGAGAAAGCACAAGAGCAAUACACAACAGUACCCAUGCCCUCUUUAUAGUAACAACAUCAAGAACAUUUGCAACUUCAAGCACUUCGAUAGUGCGCCUUGUUGGGGCCCUCGACCCAACUCGAUAUGGUUCACGCAACACAUGUGGUUCAUUCCUCCUCAACAACUCAACUGCCCUUGACCCAGAAGGUACAUUGAAAUUUUUUCGCACCAUGUCUUUUGUAUACAAAAUGGACUUCUGUCUGUGACUGCAACAAGUAGAGUAAACAGUUGAGCCAAUAAGAAACGAAACCUAUUGCAAGAAAAAGAUAGGAAAAAUGAUACUCAAGAGGAAUAUGCUUGAAAAAUGCAUACCUAAACAACGACUUAUCUGGAUUAAUUUUCAUGACUACCCAAUCCAGCAGAUCAGCGGGUACAGAAAAAGAGUUGAUGUUCAAGAGGGAACCAAAGCUGCAUAGGCAUAUAACAUCCUUCUUACUUGUGGGCUGACAAUCCGCAAUCUGGCGCAAGCGACUGGCUGAGAAACGCGUUGAAAAAGACCCAUCAGCAGCCGGGCAUUCAUCAUCGUCCAUUCUGCAAAAAAAAAACAGAAAAACGCGUUGGUCAGCAUGUUCAAAAUACAUACUUCUGGCUGAGCAUGAACUAAAAAAUGUUAAAUAGUUGCCUUGAACAAACAGGUGCCGCGCGUCUCAGACAACCUGAUGAUUUGCAUGUUAACAAGUUACCAAGUAGCAAUUUUACAUGUUACCAAGUUACAGACACAAAUCGACGAGCAAACACACAUAUGGUACUACAACAAACCAACAAACACUGCAAAAAAGUUGUCUGAUACCCAAGGUCCUCACAACCCCCAACCUACACAUACCCAAGGUCCUCCACCGUCCACCCAUCUCGAAAUGCUCAGAGUCCAUUAUGAUUUUGUUUCUUCAGCUGAUGGACUAAUCAAUACUCAAACUCGAAACUGUAUCCCAUGUCUGAAGAAAAGAACCCAUGCUCCCUGCUUAUAUAUACACACCCCUUUCUCUUAUGAAAAACUAGGGCAUACCGUUGCUUCGGAAGAUGGCAUGGGCUAGCUAACCAACAUCCAGCUGAAGCCUCCCCUGCAGAAAUAAGACACAGAGCAAGUGACAUGAGCCGAUCCCCAUGUCAGCAGAACUGCUCUGUCUGAAAGCGAUGCAAACUGGCCUCCAUGGAGAUAUGUGAAGCAGAUACCAGGCGAAAUGCGCCCGGGAGCACGCACUAGUACACAACGCCUUGCACCGCCAGCUGCUGUAACAUCCAACAUCAAACUGGCCUGGGGAUACUACGGUACUACUACAUCUGAUUGGUGCUAGCUACUGUACUAGGCAGAGGACAAGUUGAUCGGUGAGAAUGUACGGUGCUAGCUACUGUACUAGGCAGAGGACACAAGCAACUAGUACAUCUGAGAGAGAUCCCCCCAGCCCAGAACCACAUCGCCGCCGCAGUGAAGCCACCCGCGAAGGGUAGGACGCCGACGAUCCUAACACCAACCGCCGCAGCAACUCCUCCCUACCACCCCCAACCUACACCUACCAAGGUCCUCCACCGUCCAUCCCUCUAGAAAUGUUGUGAUUCCUACCGCGCACAUAUGGGAUCUAGAAAAAAACUGACCUCGGCUCUGGGUCAUCGUCGGCCAUGGAGCGCGAAGAAGAUGCGCGAGUAGCCGCUCCCUCUCUGCCCGCCGGCACCACCGGUCCCUUGCCCAGCUGCCGCGCCGACCGUCGCAUCCGGCAUUUGUGGAUCGAGCAAGAGAGAGGAAGAGGAGGAGGGAAAGUUGCAAUCCUCAAGGGCGAGCUGCAAUGUAGCGGGGUGGACUCUGGUGGACCAAAAAACACCUGGUUGGUGCGGCGCGUGCUGCAACCUGGUCGGAGACUCGACGCUGCCCAUUGUCCGGACGGAACGACUUUGAACCGUACGAUUACGUACGAUCUAACGGCCCAGGAGCCGGUUUACGGACCGAACGGAUCAGCCGGUUGAUCUAGAGCGUUUUCCGCUAACUAAACCGUACCAAUCAGAGCUUCUCGGCUUAAACGCCAAAUGAGCUCGCGUUGGAGACCACGCCGAAAUGCCACUCCGGCUGACGUUGCUACUUUGCCCCUCAUCGAACCGACUGCACCCUGUUUCCGUUACGCUUGGCCGUUGGGUCUUCAAGUCAAGGCCUUGGAUCCAGGCCAACCCCCCGUGAGAUCUCAUCCGAUACCCCAUAAAUAAACCCACCAUCCAGCGAAAUCAAAUCAGAGCAAACCGAAGCAGAUGUGCAUAGCAUACUACUAGUUUCCGUCCAUCCAUCCUCAUUGCUUGCUAGAUCUUGAUCUUGUUGUUGGAAUUAUGCCCUAGAGGCAAUAAUAAAUAUAGUUAUUAUUAUGAUUCCUGUAUCAAGAUAAUCGUUUAUUAUCCAUGCUAUAAUUGUAUUGAAUGAAGACUCAUNNNNNNNNNNNNNNNNNNNNNNNNNNNNNNNNNNNNNNNNNNNNNNNNNNNNNNNNNNNNNNNNNNNNNNNNNNNNNNNNNNNNNNNNNNNNNNNNNNNNNNNNNNNNNNNNNNNNNNNNNNNNNNNNNNNNNNNNNNNNNNNNNNNNNNNNNNNNNNNNNNNNNNNNNNNNNNNNNNNNNNNNNNNNNNNNNNNNNNNNNNNNNNNNNNNNNNNNNNNNNNNNNNNNNNNNNNNNNNNNNNNNNNNNNNNNNNNNNNNNNNNNNNNNNNNNNNNNNNNNNNNNNNNNNNNNNNNNNNNNNNNNNNNNNNNNNNNNNNNNNNNNNNNNNNNNNNNNNNNNNNNNNNNNNNNNNNNNNNNNNNNNNNNNNNNNNNNNNNNNNNNNNNNNNNNNNNNNNNNNNNNNNNNNNNNNNNNNNNNNNNNNNNNNNNNNNNNNNNNNNNNNNNNNNNNNNNNNNNNNNNNNNNNNNNNNNNNNNNNNNNNNNNNNNNNNNNNNNNNNNNNNNNNNNNNNNNNNNNNNNNNNNNNNNNNNNNNNNNNNNNNNNNNNNNNNNNNNNNNNNNNNNNNNNNNNNNNNNNNNNNNNNNNNNNNNNNNNNNNNNNNNNNNNNNNNNNNNNNNNNNNNNNNNNNNNNNNNNNNNNNNNNNNNNNNNNNNNNNNNNNNNNNNNNNNNNNNNNNNNNNNNNNNNNNNNNNNNNNNNNNNNNNNNNNNNNNNNNNNNNNNNNNNNNNNNNNNNNNNNNNNNNNNNNNNNNNNNNNNNNNNNNNNNNNNNNNNNNNNNNNNNNNNNNNNNNNNNNNNNNNNNNNNNNNNNNNNNNNNNNNNNNNNNNNNNNNNNNNNNNNNNNNNNNNNNNNNNNNNNNNNNNNNNNNNNNNNNNNNNNNNNNNNNNNNNNNNNNNNNNNNNNNNNNNNNNNNNNNNNNNNNNNNNNNNNNNNNNNNNNNNNNNNNNNNNNNNNNNNNNNNNNNNNNNNNNNNNNNNNNNNNNNNNNNNNNNNNNNNNNNNNNNNNNNNNNNNNNNNNNNNNNNNNNNNNNNNNNNNNNNNNNNNNNNNNNNNNNNNNNNNNNNNNNNNNNNNNNNNNNNNNNNNNNNNNNNNNNNNNNNNNNNNNNNNNNNNNNNNNNNNNNNNNNNNNNNNNNNNNNNNNNNNNNNNNNNNNNNNNNNNNNNNNNNNNNNNNNNNNNNNNNNNNNNNNNNNNNNNNNNNNNNNNNNNNNNNNNNNNNNNNNNNNNNNNNNNNNNNNNNNNNNNNNNNNNNNNNNNNNNNNNNNNNNNNNNNNNNNNNNNNNNNNNNNNNNNNNNNNNNNNNNNNNNNNNNNNNNNNNNNNNNNNNNNNNNNNNNNNNNNNNNNNNNNNNNNNNNNNNNNNNNNNNNNNNNNNNNNNNNNNNNNNNNNNNNNNNNNNNNNNNNNNNNNNNNNNNNNNNNNNNNNNNNNNNNNNNNNNNNNNNNNNNNNNNNNNNNNNNNNNNNNNNNNNNNNNNNNNNNNNNNNNNNNNNNNNNNNNNNNNNNNNNNNNNNNNNNNNNNNNNNNNNNNNNNNNNNNNNNNNNNNNNNNNNNNNNNNNNNNNNNNNNNNNNNNNNNNNNNNNNNNNNNNNNNNNNNNNNNNNNNNNNNNNNNNNNNNNNNNNNNNNNNNNNNNNNNNNNNNNNNNNNNNNNNNNNNNNNNNNNNNNNNNNNNNNNNNNNNNNNNNNNNNNNNNNNNNNNNNNNNNNNNNNNNNNNNNNNNNNNNNNNNNNNNNNNNNNNNNNNNNNNNNNNNNNNNNNNNNNNNNNNNNNNNNNNNNNNNNNNNNNNNNNNNNNNNNNNNNNNNNNNNNNNNNNNNNNNNNNNNNNNNNNNNNNNNNNNNNNNNNNNNNNNNNNNNNNNNNNNNNNNNNNNNNNNNNNNNNNNNNNNNNNNNNNNNNNNNNNNNNNNNNNNNNNNNNNNNNNNNNNNNNNNNNNNNNNNNNNNNNNNNNNNNNNNNNNNNNNNNNNNNNNNNNNNNNNNNNNNNNNNNNNNNNNNNNNNNNNNNNNNNNNNNNNNNNNNNNNNNNNNNNNNNNNNNNNNNNCACUACAUCAACCGCGUUCUCUAACGCUUCUGCUGUACGAUCUACAAGGGUACGUAGAUCACUCAUCCCCUCUCGUAGAUGGACAUCACCAUGAUAGGUCUUCGUGCGCGUAGGAAAAUUUUUGUUUCCCAUGCGACGUUCCCCAACACUUGUUUCUUGCAGAGCUAAAAAGGAAGGGAGGAGGAGACGGUUCGGUGAUGAACGGCAGGAAGAAGCAGGGCCGGGACAACCACAAGGCAUCGUAGGGCCGCAGCGACCGCAAGUCGGGGUCCGGGAUGAGCGGCGAUGCCAAGAAGGGCGGUCACGGCAGAAAGUUCACCUGGGAGGGCGUCGAUGGCUACACGGACGAGGACCUCGACCUCGUCGCCAGCAAGGGCCCGGGGACCGAUGCCCGUGCCUCCGGCAAGAACAAGUCCUAGGGAGAGGGUGAUGCCCUGCCCCGCCCGCCCGUCGCCGUCCGAUAGAUAGCUUUAAUUAGCGUUCUCAAUCGUGUCAGCUCUUCAAAUAAUUAUAUAGAUCGUGGUGUGGCGUGUUUGGCAUGUAGAUAUGAUCUGAUCUAGUAUUUCCAGUUGUGGGCUUCACUUGUCUUGUCUUGUGUUCUAGAUCUCGCACUUAACUUGUGUUCAACCUUGUCUUUUGUUUCUGUCAUCUUGGUUCUUCCUUCUGCGUUGAUUUCUGCUCAAUUUAUUUACCGAUCCAUGCCAACCGCCAUCAGUGCUCGCAGGAGUCGAGUCCUUUAUCCAUUCUUCGAACUGACAGCACCCUGUUCCCAUUACGCUUGGUCGUUGGGUCUUCG